This 64199-nucleotide long non-coding RNA is filed under the name Sorghum bicolor (sorghum). RNAcentral describes it as "long non-coding RNA (SBIC_LNC014699)". Lineage: Eukaryota; Viridiplantae; Streptophyta; Magnoliopsida; Poales; Poaceae. The record is from RNAcentral.
AAAAAUUCUUUACAUAUCCUUUAUUAGAGACAACCAUGUGUUUGCAGUUUGCAGAUCAGACGAUAACUUUUCCAAAAGGAAUAGUGAAGAACCUUUGUGUCCGAGUUGGUACCUUAUAUGCCCAGCAGACUUUGUAGUGGUAGAGACCGGAAAUGAUGAGAGAGCACCUAUCAUCUUGGGGAGGCCAUUCUUGAACACCACGGGAGCUAUCAUCUACGCCAGUGCUGCCAAGAUCAGUUUUUACAUCAAAGGGAGGAAGGAGACAUUUUUCUUCAGGAACAAGACUACACAAAUCCCAGAUCAAUCCAGACGUGAGUCAAGGAAGAGGACCAACAGGAGGAACAGGAACAAGCAAGUGUGGACCGAGUCAGCUAAGAUGGUCACUGUAGUUCAUGGGGGCCAAGAUCAUCAGCUUAAGUCACCGUUUUUUACCAAGAAGGAUGACCCAGGAAUGCCAAGCAUCUACUGCUCCAUAAAUGGAUACAACUUCUACAAGGCAACUUGCGACACCGGAUCGGGCAUCAACAUAAUGGCCGCAGUCACCUAUCGGCUCUUGUUCGGAACCAUGCCCCUAAGACCAACAUACAUUCAGCUCCAGAUGGCAGAUCAGACAUUUCGAGAAGUUAAAGGAAUAGUAACUGAUGUCCUAGUCAAAAUAGACGAUCACUUUGUCUACACAGACUUUCAGGUUAUUGACAUGGGAGAAGACGAAUACGAUCCAUCCAUCAUCCUUGGAAGGCCGUUCCUCAGCACCGUUAAAGCAAUCAUCUACAUUGGAACCGAAGAAGUCCAUAUGCACUUCCCCUCAGAGAAGGUACGCCGUUAUUUUACUGACCCUAACUAUAUCGUUGAAGAAUCUAAGCAGGUCAGGAAACGACGCAACCGCAACCAGAGGAGGCAGAUCAUCGAGGACGGAUGGGCAGACUACGAAGGAGAAGUUGUAAGGUCAAAAGACGUAGAGUUUAAACAGAAUUAUCCAGAGGAGAUUGAAGCACCGAGUCAGGUAUGGAAAGAGAAGAUAAUUAUACAUGAAGAGGAGGCGCUGCCGGAAGUACCGCCUACGCCACCCAACGAAUCCCAAGACAAUUGAAAAAAUGGAGAGUCCCGUUCGGAGGACUUAAAAACACCGAACGCCUUGCCAAGAGGUAAACUUGGUAGUUAUCCUUUCCCUUUCAAUUAUUUUAAACAGUUUGCUUAGUUAAUCAUGUUCAUGCUAUCCUAAAAAGAAAAUAAAAAUGUUAAAAAACAGUAAGCCCCAUGUGAGUAAACGAGUGGCAUAAAACCCAUAAGUACAUUCACUGUAGUGGCAUAAAAAUAAAAUAAAUAUUUCCUUUCUACUUUAUAAAAAUGAAAAUAUAAAAACAGGGAGUAACAAUUAUUAAGGAGUCUCAACAUGAUAAAGGCUAGAUAUUUAUGCUAACACUUAAUCAAGUUCCACAAGCUUUGUUGUCUAUUUGAGCUCCACAGGAUUUAAGAAUCAAAAAGACUAGCAGACGGAGGACAUUCUAAUCGCUGUCAGAAUGCUGCUGACUUUCAAAUACACCUCUGCCACCUGCUAGCUACAUCAAGAGAAAUUAUGUUAAAAUUCAGCUUGAGGGAGAGCACCCCCAUUUAUCUCGAUAAGUAUUUCUAUCUAUCUAUCUUUAUACUUAUAUUAUUUUAGAAUAUAAAUAUACAUAACUAGGAAAAAUUAAAUAAAGAUUUUGUGCUUAUAUAUAUAUCUUUUGCUUAGUGUGUUUAAUAAAUAAAUAAAGUAGCUAUGCUAAUCUGUAUCUAAAUAAAAUUCAAACAUGGAUAUGAUGAAUAGUUGUUCUGCCUAAUUUGCAAAUUUUAAGUUCUCUCUCAAGUUUAGACAUAACUGUUAUAAUUUAAAGCUUGCUCUAGACCUAAACUUGUGGGAUGAAAACUUGAUCUAAAGUCUAAGUUGUUAACGGAUAUGAUAUGGGAAGGUUGAGCCGCUGUUUAUCUGUUCCUAGAGAUGCUAGAAUUCUAGAGAAUUUUAUCUUUGAAAAUCUUUAAAAUAUUGCAUGAUGAGUUCCUGUAUGAUGAGAGUUUAAAUUCCUACCACAGCCAUAUAUAUAUGCUUGCUAGACUUUGAGCCACACAUUUACUAUUUACUGCUUAUGAGCAUUGAGUGUGGUCAAGCUGUGUAGACCCUUAGGAGAUUGUCAUGUGGUUUAAAUCAAGAUUUCACUUGCACGUUCACUCAUAUAUGCUACUUCUACUCCGGAAGUACCAUCCACAUAUAUUCACCCAUUCCAUCUCCAGAAUCACCUAAAAAUAUUCUACUCCUAAUCCGGGAGAGAAUAGCCAAAAACAUUUUUGUUUUCCCUUGUGAAAUAAAUGCUCAAGUUAUCUUGUUAUUAACACAUGCUAUAUUAUCUCAAGAGAUGAGUGCUCUAAAAAAAGAGAAGAUACGAGGAAAUAAAAAGGAGCAAGUGCUCGGAACCUCGAAAGAAAAAGAAAAAGUGCGACGAGAGGUAAAAAUGGACAAGUGUCCGACAGUAGAAUUAGGGGUACAAGAUACCCACCUGAGAGAAAAGAAAAAGAAGAGCAUCUCAUUCUCCUCAUAAAAUUUCAGAAAGCAAGGAAGGUAUGUAUCCUCUCAAAAGAGCAAAGUAGAAUUAGACUUCCACCACUAUUGUUUUCACCAUUGUUAUCACCAUCAUCACCAUACACCAUUCAUUCGCCACACAUGCACAUCUUGAUUUGACUUAUUGAUUUGUUACUUUGGAUCCAUGGUUUGAAUAUGCAAUACAUGUCUUGUAAGUAUGUAUACUUUAUCUCCCACCUAUGAGCUCCAGAUAUUAAAGCCUUAUUAGAGUAGGGUGAGGGAGAAGGCAAUGUCACUAUGCCUUAUACCACAAAUACUACAUAUAUUGAGAGAAGGCAUAUACCAUCACUGCCUUGGUAAGGAUCCAGAAAUACCACAAAAGAGAGAUAUGAGAGAGUCAUACAAGGAAUUCUGAGUUUUAUUUGAAAAUCUGCAAAAACCCCAGAGCUAUAGCUGAAUCAAGAAUAAGAGACAUGGCACUUGACUAGACUGUUCUAUCUUUUAACCACUCAAGACAGAAGUGACAGUUACAAGUCCCAUGGUGGAAGGUAAAGUAAGUUUUAAGUCUUGACAGAUUACUCUAACUCAGAGAUAAGAUCUUAUUUAAAAAGCAUGUGUACCGUCAAUUUUUAAAAAUAUUGCAACAACUUAUGAUCCAUAGCUGAGUCUAUCCUUGCUCAGGGACGAGCAAGAGGUAAGCUUGGGGGAGUUUGUUGACGGUCCUUAAGUAUCAAAUUUAAUUAUCAAAUAAAUAAAGAAAAGGAUCCAAAUGAAAUCAACAUCUAGACUUAGGGUUUUAUCUGACAGAAUUCCACGAGUUUUGGUGUUUGUCUAUUUCUGCAGGGGGUUAUCAGGAAAUACGGAAGAAAGGCCCACACGUCGGGAUUACAUAGAGAUAUUAACGUGCCGCGCAAUUAUCUUACAUCUAGAAGACUCCAGAAGCAACGAGACCAAAGCGGAGGCGAAACGGGGCCUAACCCUAGGCGCCCGCCCAGGUGGUCAGGCCGCCCGCCCACCUCCUGAGUCCAAUCAGGACUCUGCUUCGUGGGAGAUCUCCCCCGACCUAAAUGAUGAAUCUAAACCAUACAAUCUAUGUCAGUUUGAUCCAAUGGACCAUAUUCACUUGAAGGGACUAUAAAACCAGACCCCCUGGCCCCUGGAGGAGAGAGCCUCUCAACCCUAAUUCAUUGUUCUUCAAGGGAGAAGAAGCCUCUGAUCAAGAUUAGAGCCACCACAUCAAUUAGACAUCUAGAUUAGCAUAGCUACAUAGGAUUAGAACUAGAAGGAGUCAAUCUUCGAUUGGUUUCCGGAUCUGUCAAGAGGAUUCUUGGUAAUUCUAUAAUUGUGCUUCUAAUUGCUUUCUAAUUAUCUUUGUUCUUCAAUAUUAUGAAUAUGACUUUGUUCUACUUCAAUAUAUUGCUUAUGACUUUGCUCUACUUGCUUAUAUUCAAGAUUAUAUUGUUCUUAGUUUAUCAUAGUUAUAUACUUGUCUUAGUUAGAUUGGAUCUAUAUACAUGUUUAGGAUCGUAUAGCGUUUAUCCAUCGGAUCCAUGGGUAAAUGAUAGAUAUUAUGUAGGCGUGGUGCUUAUACCGUAUUUAUCUGCGAUUGUACCCAAUAUGCCAGAUCGUGGGGUAGUUCGUGAUAGUGACAGCUUCAUUGAUUCUUAUAUAGUCCCCCUCUCGUGUAUUGGGCUGGCAGAGCAACAUUAUUACAGGGGAGUGAUUGCUAUGUUUCUCAUUUACCUUGCUAAUAUCACUAUGCAUGGGCGUAGUCUUGUCUCGCAAUGAUUGCUAAGUAUGCUUGCACUAACUAUGAUAAUGCUAGACUAUAUAGUUGAGAAUAACUUAGGGAAUAUUCUUGUAGUUCGUUCUAAUACCAUGCUAAUGACUUUCUAGAAUAUCUAAUUGAGGUGCUUAUCAUAUUUAUUAUGUGGCUAGAUUAGAUUAGUUAUCCUUGUCACUAUUAUUAUUUCAUAUAUCCUUUAUGUGACACUUAUCCCUGUAUGCAAGAGUUAGAUAUAAUGUUCUCAAUUAUACAUGCAAUGAUAGAUGCUCAAUCUCAUAUUCUAUUCUGUAAUCAAUAUUGAUGAUUGUUAAUCCCUUCCCAGUGGUAAAAAUAUAAAUAACGAUACCUGGAAUACUUCCCGGUUAAAAUGCUACAUCGGUAUUAAUCUGUGCGCUUGCAGAUCCCAUUCAUUAUUUAUUUAGAAGAGCAAUUGCAUAUUUCAAUACCGCGUCUCUCAUGUCAUGCUGAGGAUGACAACUUGGCUUAAGUGGUGUGAGGGAUAGGUUUGGCAUUUUUGGCACCGUUACUAGAUUUAGAACUUAGUCUACUUUUGGUAAUGAUGUUAAGAAUACCCAACAAAGUUGCCGAUGAGGAUGGUUGCCGAUGGGGGGAUGGCUGAACGUGACCAAGUCCAUAGGUAAUGAUGUGUUUGUGCCGAUGACUACCACAAGGCAGUCUGCCGAUGAUGCGGGGGAAGAGUUUGGAAGUUGCCGAUCGGCUUGAGGAGGUGUUCCAGUUUGUCACGCGGGGAUAGUUUUAUGUUUUCCUUAGUUAUUUAAAUCGUUUUGUAUACGGAUUCUGUUUAAUUUGGAAUUCGAGUUCUAGUCGUGUCUGGUUGUAGCUCUUUGGGUAGGGUAUAAAUGUGAACCCUAGGGCCUUGUAACAAUGAAUCAAUCAAUCAAACAUCAGUUUUUACUCAUAUUCCAGCAUCUACUAUUUCGACGACUUCGUCAUACUUUUUUUCUUUUUAUUACGAGUUCUUAGGAAUUCGUCGACUUAAGCUCGGCGUGUUCUCAAGUUCCGCGUGAAUACCUCUUGGCCGUGGCAUCCGGGCGCAUCGCUGUUGUCGGGACCAAAGUAUUCGAGUUACCACCUUUGCCGAUAGUAAGGUUAAAUCGGCUGGCACGCCUUAACGUUUAAAUCGGGUAUUAGCCUUUUGUGUUUGCAGAUCAGCUUUUGCAUCAACACAUCUUUUGGCACGCCCGGUGGGACAGAUCCAAGAUCAAGAUCAACAUGUCGACUUCUGAGUUUGAUCAGGAGAACGUCAUCCCCGUGACGGAAGCCAAUCUCAAGGAUGAGCAGAAGCAAGCUAUUGCUAAAGCCAUGGAGGAUUACAAGCAGCAAUGCCUGUGUUGACACCGUUUUUGGACACGUGUCUAGGAUGACAGGAUAAGGUGGCAGUACGAUGCGGGUUGCCGAUGGGGAUGGUUGCCGAUGAGGGAGAAGUUGAGUGUGACUAAGUCCACAGGCAGUAGUAUGGUGCCGAUGACCAGGUAAAAGGGUCUGCCGAUGACCAUGGCGAGGGGAUUGCCGAUGACGCGAAGGAGGAGUCCGGAAGCUGCCAGUUGUCAUGUGGAGGAGUUUCAGUUUGUUACGAAGGGUAGUUUUAUUGUUUCCUUAGUUAUUUGCAUCGUUUUGUAUAUGGAUUCCGUGUAAUUUGGAAUUCGAAUUCUAAUCGUGUCUGGUCGUAGCUCUUUGAGCAGGGUAUAAAUAUAAACCCUAGGACCUUGUAAUCUAUCUAUCAAUCAAUCAAACAUACGUUUUUACUCAUAUUCCAGCAUCUACUUUUCGACGACUUCGUCAUACUUUUUUCUUUUUAUUACGAGUUCUUAGGAAUUUGUCGACUUAAGCUCGACGUGUUCUUGAGUUCCGCGUGAGUACCUCUUAGCCGUGACAUCCGGGCGCAUCGCUGUUGUCAGGACUAAAGUAUUCGAGUUAUCACCUUUGCCGAUAGUAAGGUCAAAUCGGCUGGCACGCCUUAACGUUUGAAUCGGGUAUUAGCCCUUUGUGUUUGCAGAUCCGUUUUGCAUCAACACAUCUUUUGGCACGCCCAGUGGGACCAGAUUCAAGAUCAAGAUCAACAUGUCGAUCUCUGACCUCGAUCAAGACAACGUCAUCCCCGUGACGGAAGCCAACCUCAAGGAUGAGCAGAAGCAAGCUAUUGCCCAAGCCAUGGAAGAGUUCAAGCAGCAAUGCCUGAAGUCUUUCAGCAUAAACAGGAGCGGCGAAGUGGUCCAGAAAGAUGCACUGCCGGCACCACGGCAGGUCACCUUCGACGCCAAUCCUGGCAAGCUUCAAGAUAUGGUUGACAAUGCCAUCAAUCGAGCGUUGAUUAACCAAGCUGGUGUACUGUCUAAUACGGUUUUCAACGCCGUGGCAAGAACCUUCAAGGAAGGACAAAUCCCGCCGAAUUAUGUGGGUCCUUCCCAUCAUCAACCCACGGCACCAGAAGUCACGGCUCCAUCGGCUGCCUUGACGGGUGCAAGUGCACAGUCUGUCGUCCCUCCAAGUACAUUGGGAACUACUGGUGCACCAUCUAUGCCGAUGGCAACUAACCCACAAAUUUCAGUUGGGCAGCAUAAACUGACAACAGAUAUGUUGGCAUCGGCAAUGUCAGGGUUGACUCUCCCUCCCAACUGGUGGGGUUAUGGUAUGCCUCCAGAGUUGACGCCGGGAACAUCGCAAAUAACUGACGUGAGGGGCAAAACUCCUAUGACAUCGGUACCUCCCAAUGUGCCGAUGAAUCAGAGUCCUCGGUAUACCACAACUACUACUGCAAGGCCUCACACUGGGAAUCCUCAAGAUUCAAUGUUUCAGAUGCCUAACACAUCAGCAGAGUUAAUGCUGACGCAACAGAGGCCUAUGGCCCAGUCGGGGUAUGUCAGUUCAACGACGGUACCCAAUUACCAAUCAUCGGCAGCACCUAUGCCGAUGAACGCUAACAAUGGAUGGCUUGGACAGCAAGCCUUUCCACAAUCGCCCCAGCAGGGUUAUCAGACUACAGGGUUCCAGCAAGGGCAGGUCUAUCCCGGGUUCCAAGGUCAGGGAAUUCCCAACCAGCCAAUAAAUUUUGGACAGCCAAUCGGUGGACAGCAGUUUGGUAGUCCGCAGAUUGGAGGACAGGUGACCAAUACGAUGUUCCAUACAGGUCACGUCCCAAACAGACACGUGGAGGCUCGCCACCAAAUGCCAGAUCCGCAGCCGCCUCAUCGGCAAGACGCCGAUGCGUAUUGGGCCGAUAAGAUUGCUGAAGUAAUGAGGGAACAAUUUGGGAUAAAACCCAAAGUCAACACCUAUUCUUAUCGGACACCGUAUCCUCCAGCGUAUGAUUUGAUCCCGCUUCCACAUCGGUACAAGGUACCGGACUUUACAAAGUUUUCCGGACAAGACGACACGUCAACCAUGGAACAUGUCAACAGGUUCAUUAUUCAAUGUGGAGAGGCUGGUAACAGGGACGAAUUAAGGGUUCGUCUAUUUUCGUCAUCACUGUCUGGAUCGGCCUUUACUUGGUUCAUAUCAUUACCUCCCAACUCAGUAAUUACUUGGGCCGAUCUAGAGAAGCAAUUCCACAGAUACUUCUUCUCGGGGGUUCAUGAGAAGAAAAUUACCGACUUGGUCAAGUUGAGACAACGUAAUGAUGAGUCGGUUGAGGGAUUCGUGCAGAGGAUACGAGAAGUCAAGAAUAAAUGCUAUAGCCUGGUUCUGGAUGAUCGGCAGCUAGCCGAUUUGGCUUUCCAGGGUUUGUUGCCACAUAUCAGGGAUAAGUAUGCAUCUCAGGAGUUCGAAAGUUUAAGUCAUUUGGUGCAGAGGAUAUCUGAUCAAGACAUCAAGCCUUUCAAGCCUAAGAGGGCAUGGAAUAAGAAAGUGUCAUUUGUUGACGAAGCAACAAGCUCAGAUUCCGACGAGGAACCAGUAAUCGGUUUGGCAGAGUGGGUAAAAAACAAGAAACCAAUGUCUUGUCCUUUUGGGCAAAAGGAACCAGAGAAGUUCGCCUUUGACACCGCCAAGGCCGAUAGGAUAUUUGACUUUCUACUUCAGGAAGGUCAAAUCAAACUGUCACCUAACCAUGUGAUCCCAUCGGUAGAAGAGUUGAAGAGGAUGAGAUAUUGCAAGUGGCAUAAUGCAACUUCCCAUGACACCAACGAGUGCAAAGUAUUCAGACAGCAGCUGCAAUCGGCUAUAGAGUCAGGGAGAAUCAAGUUUGACAGUUCCAAAGCCCAGAAGCCGAUGAAGAUAGACCAACAUCCUUUCCCGACAAACAUGUUGGAUGCUAAGGGGAAGGCUAAGGUCCUAACAUCGGAGACAGCUGAGAAGAGUGCAUCGGUAGAUCCUCAGCAUCAAGUUACUACUGCCGAUGCAAGAAGUAAGGGCUUGGUCCAGGAAGGAACUAGCUCAGGAAGGCCUCCUCGAUCUGGUAUCGUCAUAACUCAUAGAAGGCCUCGAGAAACAUGGCAACAACGGGAAGAUCGGUAUCGGCGCCAGCAGGAAGAUUAUCGACGGGAAGAAGAAAGGCGCCGACAGGAGUGGAAUCGGCACAGGGAUCAUUGGAAUUGUCCAUUCUUCAUUCAUUGUUGGGAGGAAAAUAUCAAGCUUCCUACUGUCAGAGACUGCCCUGAGUGCAACGGUUAUGAUCGGUACGAUAGAACCGAUCGGCGUUAUCAUGAUGAUGAAAGGCGAUUUAAUGGGCCGAUCAGAGGAAGGGUGUCAGUUCAUGACCGGCUGGGGGGCAGAUUUAGAGGGCACAACAGACUUAGUGACCGUGUCCAGUAUUUUCCCAGGAACCGAGAAGAGCUCGAGGAAAUGGCUGAUGCGCGGGUUCCCGAUGAAUUCAUAUUUUGCAGGGAUGCUAACAUGCAUCGGGUGGAGCCAAGGGAGAACCGACGCCCGACGGAAAGGCAAAGGCCACUUCCUCCAUGGUGCCCUGGAGGAUUAACUAAGACACAGAAAAGGAGAUUGCAACGUGAGAGGCAAGAAGAGCUAAACAAGGGAGAGAACUCUGGAAGUCGGCAGCCGUCAGGCAAUAAGAGGGAAGGUCCAUCGGCAGAUGUCAACAUGGUUUUCAUGUUGCCGAUGGAGUUUCUUGCACCAUCCAGCGACGAUGAGUUGGAAUUUUCUAAUCAGAUAGCUCAGUUGGCUCUGGAUCCGAUGACGGCUAUCUUUGAGAAACCUGCCGAUGACGAGAGGCAGCAUCUCAAAGCUUUGUUCCUCAAAGGGAGGGUUGAUGGGCAGCCAAUGACCAAGAUCCUAGUUGAUGGUGGAGCUGCUAUUAAUAUUAUGCCGUAUGCAGUAUAUCGGAAGCUUGGGAAAGGGGAUCAAGAUUUGACCAAGACCGAUAUGAUGCUCAAAGACUUUGAAGGAAACGUGUCUCCAGUCAAGGGGGCGAUAUGCGCAGAGUUGACCAUCGGCAGCAAAACCUUGCCGACAACUUUUUUCGUGAUCAGCGGAAAAGGUGCUUACAACUUGUUAUUGGGACGAGAUUGGAUUCAUGCCAAUUGUUGCAUCCCAUCUACAAUGCAUCAGUGCUUGGUUCAGUGGGUAGGUGACAAGAUUGAGAUUGUCCCAGGAGAUUCUUCUUAUGUUAUCGCAUCGGCAGAGGCGGAUACUUACGAAAGGACUAGGUGCAUUUCAGGAGAAGUUUGGGAGAAGGACUUUCUCAAAGUUGCCGAUUAUGAGAUUCCACCGAUCCAAGCAGUCGGUUCUGACGACGGUUUUUAAUGGAUAGAUUCGCCGAUGAUGGAAAAUUAGGCCAGGGAUUCACAUCGGCCGAUGAUUUGGUAGAGGUAGAUAUAGGUGGUGGUGAUAAGCCUAGGCCUACUUUUAUUAGUGCUAAAUUAGAUCCUGAGUGUAAACGGCAGUUAACUAGUUUGUUAAAGGAAUAUAAAGAUUGCUUUGCUUGGGAUUAUACGGAGAUGCCUGGUUUAGACCGAUCAAUUGUUGAACAUCGGUUACCCAUCAAGUCUGGAUUUCGGCCACAUCAGCAACCAGCCCGUCGAUGUAAUCCUAACAUUCUACCUGAUAUUAAGGCCGAAGUCACUAAACUUAUUGAAGCUAAGUUUAUUCGGCAGUGUCGGUAUGCCGAAUGGAUUUCCAAUGUUGUUCCGGUUUACAAGAAGAAUGGGAAGCUUCGGGUGUGCAUUGACUUCAGGAAUCUCAAUAAAGCUACGCCGAUGGAUGGAUACCCAAUGCCUGUCGCCGAUCUACUGGUUGAUGCUGCGGCUGGCCAUCGGGUCAUCAGCUUCAUGGAUGGUAAUGCAGGUUACAAUCAAAUAUUCAUGGCAGAGGAGGAUAUUCCAAAAACCGCAUUCAGGUGUCCUGGUCAUGUUGGACUAUUUGAAUGGAUAGUCAUGACUUUUGGGUUAAAGAAUGCUGGGGCUACUUAUCAAAGGGCUAUGAAUUUUAUAUUUCAUGAGUUCAUCGGCAAGCUCGUAGAGAUUUAUAUUGAUGAUGUGGUGGUUAAGUCUGGAGAUUUCUCAAAGCAUCUUGCCGAUUUACAAAAAGUGUUAGAGUGCACAAGGAAGCAUGGAUUGAAGAUGAAUCCCAACAAGUGUGCAUUUGGUGUAUCGGCAGGGCAGUUUCUUGGUUUCAUGGUACAUCAGAGGGGUAUUGAAAUUAGUCGAAGAUCUAUUGAUGCCAUCAAUAAAAUAGUGGCCCCUACCAACAAAACCGAGCUCCAAUCCUUGAUCGGCAAGGUAAAUUUUAUCAGGAGAUUUAUAUCGAAUUUGUCUGGUAGGAUUCGUGCUUUCAGUCCUCUUCUUAAAUUGAAAGCCGAUCAAGAGUUUAUUUGGGGAGAAGAACAGCAGUUGGCUCUGGAUGAAAUCAAGAAGUAUUUAGUAAAUCCUCCAGUUCUAGUUCCACCUCAACAAGGGAAGCCCUUCAGAUUGUAUUUAUCUACCGAUGGAUCGGUUAUCGGUUCAGCUUUAGUUCAAGAAUUUGAAGGGAAAGAAAGGGUAAUUUAUUAUUUGAGUAGGAGGUUGAUCGAUGCUGAAACCAGAUAUUCGGCCAUUGAGAAACUAUGCUUGUGCUUAUAUUUUUCAUGCAUCAAGCUGAGACAUUACCUGUUAUCGGCCGAAUGUAUUGUUGUCUGUAAAGAUGACGUAGUCCGGUACAUGCUAUCUAUGCCGAUUAUGAGUGGUAGGAUCGGUAAAUGGAUUUUAGCGCUGUCGGAGUUCGAUUUGCGUUACGAAUCGGCUAAGGCAGUCAAAGGGCAGAUCAUGGCCGAUUUUGUGACUCGGCAUUGCGGUCUAGUGGAAACCUUGGAAAUUGCACCCUGGACACUCUUCUUUGAUGGAUCUACCUGUGACCGGGGGGCAGGAAUCGGCAUUGUAUUGGUUUCUCCUAAGGGGAGGAAGUAUGAAUUUUCCUUGCCGAUUGUUGCUACAUCAACAAAUAAUCAGGCUGAGUAUCAAGCUCUGAUCAAGGGAUUGGAGUUGUUAAGAGAGGUUCGUGCUGAUGCUGUUGAGAUAUUCGGGGAUUCCAUGUUGGUUAUAAAUCAAUUGGCCGGAAGCUAUGAAUGCCGGAGUGAAGUUCUCAUAACUUAUUUCGAGAGAAGUAUGCAACUGUUAAAGGAAUUCAAGAACUUCCGAUUGGAGCAUGUUCCCCGAUUGCAUAAUGAAGACGCUAAUCGGUUAGCCCAGCAUGCCUCAGGAUAUCAGCCAAUGAUUAAUGCGACAUCAGCAGUCAGUGCCGGUGAUUGGAGGAAAGAAAUUAUUGACUAUCUAGAAGAUCCGUCCAAAAAGGUUGAGAGACGGGUUCGAUUUCAAGCAACUAAGUAUGUGCUCCUCGAAGAUGAAUUGUAUUAUCGAACUAUUGAUGGAAUUCUUCUCCGAUGUUUGGGUGAUGAUGAAGCUAGGAGUUUGAUGGGAGAAAUCCAUGAAGGGGUGUGUGGAGCACAUCAGUCGGCUUUCAAAAUGAAAUGGAUGAUUAGAAGGAAUGGAUAUUUUUGGCCAACUAUACUUGAGGAUUGCUUUAAGUAUUUCAAGGGAUGCCAAGGUUGUCAAAAGUUUGGUAACAUUCAAAGAGCGCCCGCAUCGGCUAUGAAUCCUAUUAUCAAGCCUUGGCCGUUUCGGGGUUGGGCUGUUGAUCUGAUCGGCCAGAUUUAUCCACCAUCUAGCAAAGGGCAUAAGUUCAUUCUAGUUGCCACUGACUAUUUCACUAAGUGGGUUGAAGCUAUUCCUUUGAAGAAAGUCACAUCGGCCAAUAUGAUUGAUUUUGUGAAGGAGCAUAUUAUUUACCGAUUUGGAAUUCCCCAAACGAUUACUACCGAUCAGGGCACCAUGUUCACGUCGGGGGAGUUCGAUGAGUUCGCAAUCGGUAUGGGAAUUAAAGUAUUGAAUUCUUCUCCUUACUAUGCUCAAGCCAAUGGGCAGGCCGAAGCGUCUAACAAAGGGAUUAUCAAGCUUAUUAAACGAAGGAUUGAAGAAAAUCCUAGGCGGUGGCAUGCAUUGUUAAAUGAAGCAUUGUGGUCUUAUCGGAUGGCUUGUCAUGGAUCAACCAAGGUGUCACCCUAUCAAUUGGUGUAUGGACAUGAUGAAGUUUUGCCUUGGGAGAUUAAGGCUGGAUCUAGGCGAUUAUAUUUUCAAGAUCAAUUGGCUGCCGAUGAUUAUGCCACUUUGAUGACCGAUGAGUUAGAUGAUUUAGCAGGGCAUCGGUUAAAAGCUUUAAUGAGUAUAGAAGAAAAUAAGAAGAGAGUUGCUAGAUGGUAUGAUAAAAAAGUAAAGGCUAAGGAGUUUGCCGAUGGGGAUUUGGUAUGGAAAUUGGUCUUGCCAGUUGGGACUAAGAGUUCGAAGUUUGGAAAGUGGUCUCCUAAUUGGGAAGGUCCUUAUCGGAUAAGACACUCAGCUCCUGGUAAUGCCUAUAUUCUAGAAACUCUCGAAAGAGUUGAAUUCCCCAGAGCAUUAAAUGGCAAAUAUUUAAAGAAGUACUUCCCCAGCAUAUGGGUCGAUGCGUAAAAGUUUAAGUGCCGAUAACACUCCUAUCGGCUGGAGUUAAAUGUUUGGAGACAGACUUAAUGUUUCAAAAGAUGCCGAUAACAGUCUUAUCGGCUAGACUAAAAGCUAAAAGCGGGAAAACAAAGGUGUGUUGCCGAUGAAAGCUUCAGAUGUUCAGCAGCUCUUGGAUUGUCGAUAUGGCGCGCAGCCGGAUCUGAUUGGCUGUCUCUAUCUCCUUGAUAUCAUCAUCGGCAGAACCUUCUAUCGGCUUCAGCUUCCUCUUCAACUGCAGCGCUUUGCGACCAUGGACGUUUCGUUCUCGUUCAAGGUGCUUGAUGGUCUCCGGCAGUUGACUCUCUUCUUGCUGGGCUUGGGACAGAGCAUCCUCUACUUGCUUGAGUUCGGCCAGUAGAGCUUCUCUUUUUGCCGAUAGAUCAGAUACUUUCUGCUUCAGAACAUCACCUGAGGACUUUAAGGUGCCGAUGUUCUUAUGUUUCUCAUCGGCUAAGAGUUUUUCUUUCAUCAUCUCCUCAGAAAGCUGGAUUUGAGCUGCUCUAUCGGCAAGGCGUCGAGUGGCUCUCUGGUACUGUAGCUGGCGGCUUUCUAGGUGUGCAGCAUGGAAGAGGGUUUCUUCAGCAUCGGCAGGAACUUGGCCUCUAAGGGUUUUGAACAGGGCCUUGGCUGGGUCAGAAUCGUUGACCAGUUGAGAUGUGUCUUGAUGAAGUAUGGCCGAUAGCUCCUCCAGCUUAGCCCUGGUUUCUGCCGAUACAGUCCCAAUUGCCCGAGAGGAGCUUGCUUCCUCACCCUCUUCUUCGAGAAUAUCAAUGGCGAAGGAGAAUAAGCUAUCGGGAGAAUCUUGUUCCUGAAAAUGAGAAUGAAAUAAGUCAUUUUUAUGGUCAAAGCUUCGGCAGACAAUGUUGAUGAAAAAAUUGGAUGACUUACUUGCUUCAAGGCGAUCUCUUGUCUUUGACUGAAAAGUGCUGAUGGAGCUGCAGGCUGAUCGGCCAAAGAUGCCGAUGGAGCUACAGAUUGAUCGACCGAGAUUGCCGAUGGAACGAUAUCGACUGAAAAAAGACAAAAGGAGUUAUAAGGCUAAAUAAGAAUAAGUUCAUCGGUAGCGAUAUUGUUAAAGUAUGUUACCUGAAGGAGGGACAACGGUUGUCUGAAUCGGGAGAACUGCCGAUGGUAUAACUGGAUCCACCGGGCCAGUUGUUUGUUCCCCUAUGCUAGCUGAUGUAUCUUCUGUCUGAGACCCUGUCUGCUGGGGUUCUUCUAUCUGUGGUGCUUCCUGCAUAGGUGGGGGAGAUGGUGCUUGCUGUGGCUGGGCUUCUGGAGAAGAAGGAGAAGACUCCACCGGAAUUGGAGAUACCGGAGGAGGAGGGGGAGUUGCUACCUUCUGGCGCUUUGUUCCAGUCUUAGCGCCCGUGGUGCCCUUUCUCUUUGGUUGGCUAGACUGGGGGGCAUCGGUGCUCUCAUGCCUGGAUUUCGCCGAUAUGCCGGUUUGCUGCAAUAAUAAACAAGAGUUUAUAAGCGUAAAUGUAGCCAAUAUAAAGAUAGUCGGCAUAAAGGAAAAGAUUUGACAAAUUGCCUUGAAAGCCCGCGCCAGGGUGGGAGCAGCUACCGUUGGUGAUGUCUGAGCUCUUCUGGUAGUGACUUUCCUGAGGCAUACGCCCCGAUGCACGAUGGAAGCUAGAGUGGGAGCGUUGUGGCCGAUUGAGGAAAUCGGGCCUGAUGGAAACAAGUCAAUCGGCCUGCCACUCUUGCUAACCAAUGGAGGAAUACUGUCAACCUGCAAAAGGAAUACAAGGGUAAGCUGCCGAUAGAAGUGACAUUGAGAAAAUGAAACAUCGGUUUGAGUUACUUACAGUGUCAUCGGGAACUUCGUAUUCGGUGUCAAUCAUGCCGCGGUAUGAAAGCGCCGAUCUGCAGAAUAGAUGCUCUUUCCAUUCUGCCCACCACGGCUUGUAUGCCUGAGUGAUAAAAGCAGCCGGAACCCAUUCUGACAGAUCUACAUCCGUAUCGGCAUUUGGUGGUAAUUGGGCUACUCGAGUCCACUCAAGAAGGUUGUUGAUAGUUUCUCUGGGUUUUAUCACAUCGGCAUAAGGAAGUGCAAUCGGCAACUGGCCGAAAGCUAAUUGGCGAGCUAAUGCCGAUGGAUUAUAAAAUUCGUAGGUUUGGGGAGAAGUUUUUGUGCUACCAAAGAAAUUCACCGGAAUGGCCCUGGGAGUCACAAUUGCCAUCAUCGCCUCAUUGUCCCUGUCGAGAGCUUCAUCAAAUGGAUUGAAGGUCAGAGGGAGCAUGCUAUCUGGGUCAUCAUAAGCCAACCAUGGUCGUUCAUCUCUGGCCAAACCCUCAUACAGCGUCUCGAAGAAUCGGCCGAUCUGAUCCGGAGUGUUCCCUGAACCGGGUAAGACUAUAACAGCUUCGCCAAAGUUCAGGGGGGCACGUGUUGCCGAUUCCUCUUCACCCAACACGUAGUUCUCGGCUAUAUCUCUUGGGAAGUGCUGUGAGAACAAGUUGAGAUCAAGGCGCUUGUGCAGGUGCAGAUUGAGCCACAUAUUAAUAAACCACCAAGGACCUCCCAAGUUGCCGAUAGGUUGGCCGAGCAGGAGUUUCUGGACUACCUGAUGAAGAAGGUGAUAAACAGCGCCGAGCAAAUAACGGCCGAGAGGAAAUUGACCACCGCUAGCCAGUCUUUCUGCUGCCGAUAGAUAGACAGAAGUCGGUCCUGCCGAUCGACCACAGAAUACAAACUUGUCUAGCCACAUGUUCAGAAAGGUGGUUUGCUCCUUUAUGGUGACAGGUCCUCUCCCGCGGUACUUCUGGAUGUACCCUGACCAACCGCCGAUAGCGCGAGUCUCCACUUUGGCACUGGGGGCGGUAUCAAAAAAGUGGGUGCUAUCGGCAGAAGAUAUAUCUAACCCAGUAAGCAUGGCUACAUCGGCAAGGGUAGGAGAAGCAGGGCCGUGGCCAAAAACAAAAGCGUUGAGAGUGUCUGACCAAAAGUAAGAUGCAGCUAUCAGCAAUGACUCGUUCCUGUGCAUAUCGGCAAUGGACAGCCUAAUGCAUUGGGCUAAUUUCCUCUCACCCCAUUGAACUUCAUAAGAGUUGCUGACCCUCAAGAACCAGUCUUUCCACCCUACAGUAGGGCUGGGCCAAGAGCGAAAGGUGUCCUUCCAUAGAUCUAAAGCAAAGUUUUCAGCUCUAAAGGGAAUCCUGUUGGUUUCUGCAUUGAUAAGGUCGGUUGGAUCUGGAUCCCCUAGAGGGCCGAGGCAUUGAAGAUGUGGUUGAUCGGUAGGAAUGACAAUUUUGUUGGAUAACUCCUAGUGUUUUGGGGAAUAAAGAUACAAAGAAAAAGGAAAAGGGAAAUAUUCGGUAAGAUGAAUCGCAGAUGAACAGGAAUGCAAGAAAAGGGUACAGCAGAUGAGAUGGAAAUCUGACCUCAGGGACGACGAAGCCAACGGCCAUCUUGUCGUGAAGAGGACGCUGGAGGGCGCCGGAGUUGAUGAAGAGGAAUGCUUGUCGGAGAUUUUGAGGGUUGUGAAUGGCGCCGCCGCUGGAAAAGCGAAGUUGGAUGGCAGAAUGGUGUAAUGGGGGAGGAGUACCCAAGAAGGAACUAUUUAUAGGACAAAAUGGGCAAGGGCAAAUCUGACUUAUUUCUUUGCCACAUCCGAGAAACCCGAGGGUACUCAAGUGGAUAUGGUAACUGUUCGCGCGGUAAUCCAGGGAUUGUGCAGGUGAUUUGACAGGAAGCGGUCAUUAUCUAAAGAUAUUUUACUGUACGCGAUCUCCUGGUCGGUCCAUCGGCGAUAUUCUAUAACGGUCAUCCUGCCGAUGGGCGGAUAGAGGGGAGGUAACCGUUUUUGCGAAUCUCCUGGGCAGAGCAUCGGCAGAUAUUUGUAACGGUAUUGUUGCCGAUAUACGAAUAAGAAAGAUGCCCGUUUAGGAAGUUGGGGAUUUCGAGGAAUCUGCGGAGGAUUAGGAUCAGAGUUGUCCAGAUUGAGGUUGUCGGUUACCAGAUUAGGAGCAUUAAUUGCGGAGAAGGCAUCAUUACUGCAGAGAAUUUCGGAGCAUUAAUAGUUUUAUACUCCGAAACUGGGGGGCAUGUGUUGACACCGUUUUUGGACACGUGUCUAGGAUGACAGGAUAAGGUGGCAGUACGAUGCGGGUUGCCGAUGGGGAUGGUUGCCGAUGAGGGAGAAGUUGAGUGUGACUAAGUCCACAGGCAGUAGUAUGGUGCCGAUGACCAGGUAAAAGGGUCUGCCGAUGACCAUGGCGAGGGGAUUGCCGAUGACGCGAAGGAGGAGUCCGGAAGCUGCCAGUUGUCAUGUGGAGGAGUUUCAGUUUGUUACGAAGGGUAGUUUUAUUGUUUCCUUAGUUAUUUGCAUCAUUUUGUAUAUGGAUUCCGUGUAAUUUGGAAUUCGAAUUCUAAUCGUGUCUGGUCGUAGCUCUUUGAGCAGGGUAUAAAUAUAAACCCUAGGACCUUGUAAUCUAUCUAUCAAUCAAUCAAACAUACGUUUUUACUCAUAUUCCAGCAUCUACUUUUCGACGACUUCGUCAUACUUUUUUCUUUUUAUUACGAGUUCUUAGGAAUUUGUCGACUUAAGCUCGACGUGUUCUUGAGUUCCGCGUGAGUACCUCUUAGCCGUGACAUCCGGGCGCAUCGCUGUUGUCAGGACUAAAGUAUUCGAGUUAUCACCUUUGCCGAUAGUAAGGUCAAAUCGGCUGGCACGCCUUAACGUUUGAAUCGGGUAUUAGCCCUUUGUGUUUGCAGAUCCGUUUUGCAUCAACAGCCUGAGGUCCUUCAGCAUGAACAGGAGCGGUGAGGUGAUCCAGAAGGAUGCACUGCCGGCACCUCGGCAGGUUACUUUUGAAGCCAAUCCUGGUAAACUUCAAGAGAUGGUUGAUAGUGCUAUCAACCGUGCUUUGAUCAACCAAGCUGGUGUGCUGUCCAAUACGGUUUUCAACGCCGUGGCUAGAACUUUCAAGGAAGGACAAUUACCACCAGAUUAUGUGGGCCCCUCUCAUCAUCAGCAAGGAUCACCGGUGGUCACAGCUCCAUCGGUUGCUACGGCCGCUGCGGGCAUGGAGAUUCCCGUUCCUCCAAGUACGUUGGGAGUUACCAAUGCACAAUCUACACCGAUGACGACGAAUCCGCCGACUUCAGAAUAGAUUAAGCUUACUACAGAUUUAUUGGCAUCGGCAAUGUCAGGACCAGUUCCUCCUCCUAACUGGUGGGGUUUUGGUAUGCCUCCGAAAUACUUCAAGGCACCCGGUACAUCUCAAGCAACUGAUAUGAGAGGCAAGGCUCCUAUGGCAUCGGCACCUCCCAAUAUGCCGAUGAACCAGAGUCCCCAGUAUACUACAACUACUACUGCAAGACCUUACAAUGGGAAUUCUCAAGCUCCAACGUUCCAGAUGCCUAACGCAUCGGCAGACUCGAUGCUGAUGCAACAGAGGUUUAUGACUCAACCUGGGUAUGUUAAUUCGAUGAUAAUUCCCAAUUACCAGUCAUUGGCAGGACCUAUGCCGAUGAAUGCUAAUAAUGGAUGGCUUGGGCAGCAAGUCUUUCCGCAAACACCCCAACAGAGUCAUCAGGUUACAGGGUUCCAGCAAGGCCAGAUCUAUCCCGGGUUCCAGAAUCAGGGGAUUCCCAACCAGCCAAUGAAUCUUGGGCAGCAGGUCGGCGGACAACAGAUUGGCGGGCAACAGAUGGUGGUCCACGGAUUGGGGGCCAGAUGAUUAACCCGAUGUUUCAUGUAGAUCGUGCGCCGCACCGACACAUGAAGCUUACCAGCAGGUGCCGGAUCCGCAACCACCUCAUCAGCAAGAUGCCGAUGCUUAUUGGGCCGAUAAGAUUGCUGAAGUAAUGAGGGAUCAAUUUGGGAUAAAGCCCAAAGUCAACACUUACUCUUAUCGGACACCGUAUCCUCCUGCAUAUGAUUUGAUCCCGAUUCCAAAUCGAUACAAGGUACCGGAUUUUACUAAGUUUUCUGGGCAGGAUGACACGUCAACCAUGGAGCACGUCAACAGGUUCAUCAUCCAGUGCGGGGAAGCUGCUAACAGGGACGAGUUAAGGGUUCGCUUAUUCUCGUCAUCAUUGUCUGGAUCGGCUUUCAACUGGUUUAUAUCAUUACGUCCCAACUCAGUGAUUACUUGGGCUGAUCUGGAGAAACAAUUCCACAAAUAAUUCUUUUCUGGGGUCCAUGAGAAGAAGAUCACCGAUUUGGUCAAAUUGAGGCAACGCAAUGAUGAAUCAGUUGAAGGUUUUGUGCAGAGGAUAUGGGAAGUCAAGAACAAAUGCUAUAGCCUGGUUCUGGAUGAUCGGCAGCUAGCCGAUUUGGCUUUCCAGGGUUUGUUGCCACACAUCAGGGAUAAGUAUGCAUCUCAGGAGUUUGAAAGUUUAAGUCAUUUGGUGCAGAGGAUUUCUGAUCAAGAUAUCAAGCCAUUUGAACCCAAGAGAGCAUGGAACAAGAAGGUGUCCUUUGUUGAUGAAGCAGCAAGCUCAGAUUCUGAUGAGGAACCGGUCAUCGGCUUAGCAGAAUGGGUAAAAAACAAGAAGCCGAUGUAUUGUCCUUUUGGACACAAGGAACCAGAGAAGUUCGCGUUUGAUAUCACUAAGGCCGAUCGGAUAUUUGACUUUUUACUUCAGGAAGGUCAAAUAAAAUUAUCACCUAAGCAUGUGAUCCCAUCGGCUGAGGAGUUAAAGAAGAUGAAGUAUUGUAAAUGGCACAAUGCAACUUCUCACAGCACCAAUGAGUGCAAAGUGUUUAGGCAACAGCUGCAAUCGGCUAUAGAGUCAGGGAGGAUCAAAUUUGACAGCUCCAAAGCUCAGAAGCCGAUGAAGAUUGAUCAACAUCCUUUCCCAACAAACUUGCUGGAUGCUAAGGGGAAGGCCAAGGUCUUGACAUCGGAAGAAGCUGAAAGAAGUGCAUCGGUGGAUCCUCAGCAUCAAAUCACUACCGCCGAUGCGAAAGGAAAAGGCCUAGUCCAAGAGGGAGCUAACUCAGGGAGGCCUCCCCGAUCUGGUAUCAUCAUAACCCACAGAAGGCCUCGGGAGACUUGGCAGCAACGUGAAGAUCGGUAUCGGCACCAGCGAGAGGACUAUCAUCGGGAAGAAGAAAGACGCCGUCAGGUGUGGAAUCGGCAUAGGGAUCACUUGAAUUGCCCUUUCUUCAUUCAUUGCUGGGAGGAGAAUAUCAAACUUCCCACUAUCAGAGAUUGUCCUGAGUGCAACGGUUAUGACCGGUAUGACAGGUCUGAUCGGCGCUAUCAUGAUAAUGAUCGACGAUUUAAUGGGCCGAUUAGAGGGAGAGCACCCGUUCGUGAUCGGCAGGGGGGCAGGCUCAGCGUGCACGAUAGGCUUGGAGAUCGUGUUGAGUAUUUCCCCAGGAGCCAGGAAGAACUUGAAGAGGCAGCAGCAAUUUCCUCCAUGGUGUCCAGAGGGGUUGACCAGGACACAGAAAAGAAGGCUGCAGUGCGAAAGGCGAGAAGAGUUAAGCAAGGGGGAGAACUCUAGACAGUCUGGGGAUCAGCAACAACCAGAUCCUAAGGGGAAAGGUCCAUCGGAGAUGUCAACAUGGUUUUUAUAUUGCCGAUGGAGUUCCUUGCGCCAUCCAGUGAUGAUGAGGUAGAAUUCUCCGACCAAAUAGCUCAAUUGGUUCUGGAUCCGAUGACAGCUAUCUUCGAGAAGCCUGCCGAUGAUGAAAGGCAACAUCUUAAGGCUCUGUUUGUCAAGGGAAGGGUUGAUGGUCAGCCGAUGACUAAGAUUUUAAUUGACGGCGGGGCUGCUAUCAACAUCAUGCCAUAUGCAGUGUAUCGGAAGCUUGGAAAAGGAGAUCAGGACCUGACCAAGACCGAUAUGAUGCUCAAAGAUUUUGAGGGCAAUGUAUCCCCAGUUAAAGGAGCUAUCUGCGUAGAAUUAACCAUCGGCAGCAAAACCUUGCCGACGACCUUCUUUGUGAUCAGUGGAAAAGGUGCCUACAAUCUGUUGCUAGGGAGAGAUUGGAUUCAUGCCAAUUGUUGCAUCCCAUCUACAAUGCACUAGUGCUUGGUCCAGUGGGUAGGUGACAAGAUUGAAAUUGUCCCAGGAGACUCUUCAUAUGUUAUUGCAUCGGCGGAAGCAAACACCUAUGAAAGGACUAGGUGUAUUUCAGGAGAAGCUUGGGAAAAGGAUUUCCUCAAAGUUGCUGAUUAUGAAAUUCCACCGAUCCAAGCAGUCGGUUCUGAAGAUGGUUUUUAAUGGAUAGGUUCGCCGAUGAUGGAAAAUUAGGCCAGGGGUUCACAUCGGCCGAUGAUUUGGUAGAAGUAGACAUAGGUAGUGGUGAUAAACCUAGACCUACUUUUAUUAGUGCUAAGUUAAGUCCUGAGUGUAAGCAGCAGUUGACUGAUUUGUUAAAGGAAUAUAAAGAUUGCUUUGCUUGGGAUUAUACUGAGAUGCCUGGUUUGGACCGAUCGAUUGUUGAACAUCGGUUGCCUAUUAAGUCUGGAUUUUAGCCACAUCAGCAGCCAGCUCGCAGAUGUAAUCCUAAUAUUCUUCCUGACAUCAAGGCCGAAAUAACUAAACUUAUUGAAGCCAAAUUUAUUCGGCAGUGUCGGUAUGCCAAGUGGAUUUCCAAUGUUGUUCCGGUUUACAAGAAGAACGGGAAGCUUCGGGUCUGCAUUGAUUUCAGGAAUCUUAACAAAGCUACACCGAUGGAUGGCCACCCGAUGCCAGUUGCCAAUCUGCUAGUUGAUGCUGCGGCUGGGCAUCAGAUCAUUAGCUUUAUGGAUGGCAAUGCAGGAUACAAUCAAAUAUUCAUGGCGGAAGAGGAUAUUCCAAAGACCGCAUUUAGAUGUCCUGGUCAUGUCGGGUUGUUUGAAUGGAUAGUCAUGACCUUUGGCUUAAAGAAUGCUGGCGCUACUUAUCAAAGGGCCAUGAAUUUUAUAUUUCAUGAGUUCAUUGGCAAGCUGGUGGAAAUUUAUAUUGAUGAUGUGGUGGUUAAGUCUGGGGACUUCACAAAGCAUCUUGCCGAUCUACGAAAGGUGUUGGAGUGCACGAGGAAGCAUGGUUUGAAAAUGAAUCCCAAUAAGUGUGCAUUUGGUGUAUCGGCAGGGCAGUUUGUUGGUUUCAUGGUGCAUCAAAGGGCGAUUGAAAUUAGUCGAAGAUCUAUUGAGGCUAUCAAUAAAAUAGUUGCCCCUACUAAUAAGACUGAGCUCCAGUCCUUGAUCGGCAAGGUGAAUUUUAUCAGGAGAUUUAUAUCUAAUUUGUCUGGUAAAAUUCGUGCUUUCAGUCCUCUUCUUAAGCUAAAAGCCGAUCAAGAAUUUGUUUGGGAGAAAGAACAACAGUUGGCUCUGGAUGAAAUUAAGAAUUAUUUAGUGAAUCCUCCAGUUCUAAUUCCACCUCAGCAAGGGAAGCCCUUCAGAUUGUAUUUGUCUGCCGAUGGAAUGGUCAUCGGUUCGGCUUUAAUUCAAGAAUUUGAAGGGAAAGAGCGUGUAAUUUAUUACUUAAGUAGGAGGUUGAUUGAUGCUGAGACCAGGUAUUCAGCUAUUGAGAAACUAUGCUUGUGCCUUUAUUUCUCUUGUAUCAAGUUGAGACAUUACUUGCUGUCGGCCGAAUGCACUGUUAUUUGUAAAGAUGAUGUGGUCCGGUACGUGCUGUCUAUGCCGAUUAUGAGUGGCAGGAUCGGUAAAUGGAUUUUGGCGCUAUCAGAAUUCGAUCUACGUUACGAAUUAGCUAAGGUAGUUAAGGGACAGGUUAUGGCCGAUUUUGUAACCCAACAUUGUGGUGCAGUGGAGGCUUUGGAAAUUGUACCUUGGACGCUUUUGUUUGAUGGAUCCACAUGUGACCUGGGGGCAGGAAUCGGCAUAGUAUUAAUUUCCCCUCAGGGAAGGAGGUAUGAGUUUUCCUUACCGAUUGUUGCCACGUCGACGAAUAAUCAGGCUGAGUAUGAAGCUUUAAUAAAGGGAUUGGAGUUGUUAAGAGAAGUUCAUGUUGAUGCUAUCGAGGUCUUCGGGAAUCCUAUGCUAGUUAUAAAUCAAUUGGGUGGAUGUUAUGAGUGUCAAAGUGAAGUUCUCGUAACUGGAAAGGAGUAUGCAACUAUUAAAGGAAUUCAAGGAUUUCCGAUUAGAGCAUGUUCCUCGAUUGCAUAAUGAAGAGACCAAUCGGCUGGCUCAGCAUGCCUCGUGAUAUCAGCCUAUGAUUAAUGCGAUAUCGGCAAUUAGUGCCGAUGAUUGGAGAAAAGAAAUCAUUGACUAUUUGAAGGAUCCAUCUAAGAAAGUUGAAAGGCGGGUUCGGUUUCAAGCCACCAAGUAUGUGGUCCUCGAAGAUGAAUUGUAUUACCGAACUAUUGAUGGGAUUCUUCUCCGAUGCUUAGAUGGUGAUGAAGCUAGGAGUUUGAUGGGAGAAAUCCAUGAAGGGGUAUGUGGAGCACAUCAGUCGGCUUUCAAGAUGAAGUGGAUGAUUAGGAGGAAUGAAUAUUAUUGGCUUACUAUACUUGAGGAUUGCUUUAAGUAUUUCAAAGGGUGUCAAGGGUGUCAAAAGUUUGGUAAUAUUCAAAGGGCGCCUGCAUCGGCUAUGAAUCCUAUCAUAAAGCCUUGGCCGUUCCGAGGAUGGGCUAUUGAUUUGAUCGGCCAGAUUUAUCCACCAUCUAGCAAAGGGCAUAAGUUUAUUCUAGUUGCCACCGAUUAUUUCACCAAGUGGGUUGAAGCUAUUCCCUUGAAGAAAGUCACAUCGGCCAAUAUGAUUGAUUUUGUGAAAGAGCACAUCAUUUACCGAUUUGGGAUUCCUUAAACAAUUACUACUGAUCAGGGCACUGUGUUCACAUCAGGGGAAUUUGAUGAAUUUGCAAUCGGUAUGGGGAUUAAAGUGUUGAACUCUUCCCCUUACUAUGCUCAAGCUAAUGGGCAGGCCGAGGCAUCUAACAAAGGAAUUAUUAAGCUUAUUAAACGGAAGAUUGAAGAAAAUCCUAGAAGGUGGCACACAUUGUUAAAUAAAGCUUUAUGGUCAUACCGGAUGGCUUGUCAUGGAUCGACCAAGGUUUCACCCUAUCAGUUGGUGUAUGGGCAUGAUGCAGUGUUACCUUGGGAGAUUAAGGCUGGGUCUAGGCGAUUAUCUUUUCAAGAUCAGUUGGCUGCCGAUGAUUAUGCUACUUUGAUGACAGACGAGUUGGAUGAUCUAGCAGGGCAUCGGCUGAGGGCUUUGAUGAGUAUAGAAGAGAAUAAGAAAAGAGUCGCCAGAUGGUAUGAUAAGAAGGUAAAGACUAAGGAGUUUGCCGAUGGAGACUUAGUAUGGAAAUUAAUUUUACCGAUCGGGACUAAAAGUUCAAAGUUUGGGAAGUGGUCUCCCAAUUGGGAAGGUCCCUAUCGGAUAAGUCGAUCGACUCCUGGUAAUGCCUACAUUUUAGAAACUCUCAAAGGAGUUGAAUUUCCCAGAGCAUUAAAUGGCAAAUAUCUAAAGAAGUACUACCCUAGCAUAUGGGUCGAUGCAUAAGAGUUUAAAUGCCGAUAACACUCCUAUCGGCUGGAUUGAAAUAUGUUUGGAGCCGGACUUAAUGUUUCAAAAGAUGCCGAUAACAGUCCUAUCGGCUAGACUAAACAUCAAGGAAGCUGGAAAGUAGGGAGAAGCGGGUAUGUUGCCGAUGAAGAGCUCACAUGUUUAGCAGCGCUUGGAUGGCCGAUAUGGCACGUAGGCGAAUUUGGUUGGCUGCUUCUAUCUCUUUGACGUCUUCAUCGGCAGAACCUUCUAUCGGCUUCAGCUUCUUCUUCAACUGCAGUGCUUUGUGACCAUGGGCAUUUCGCUCUUGCUCAAGGAGCUUGAUGGUCUCUAGCAGUUGACUCUCUUCCUGUUGGGCUUGGGAUAGGGCGUCCUCCACUUGCUUGAGUUCUGCCAACAGGGCUUCUCUUUUUGCCGAUAGAUCAGAGAUCUUCUGCUUCAGUGCGUCUCCUGAGGACUUCAAGGUGCCGAUGUCCUUGUGCUUCUCAUCGGUCAGGAGCUUUUCUUUCAUCAUCUCUUCAGAAAGCUGGGUCUGAGCGGCUCUAUCGGCAAGGCGCCAGGCAGCCCUCUGGUAUUGCAGUUGACGACUCUCUAGAUGUGCUGCUUGGAAAAGGAUUUCUUCAGCAUCGGUGGGGAUUUGGCCUCUCAGGGUCUUGAAUAAAGCCUUGGCCGGGUCAGAGUCAUCAACUAGUUGGGCUGUGUCUUGAUGAAGGAGGGCCGACAGUUCUUCCAGCCUUGCCCUGAUCUCUGUCGAUGUAACCCCAACAGCUCGAGAGGAGCUUGCUUCCUCACCUUCAUCUUCGGAGACGUCAAUGGCAAAGGAGAAGAGGCUGUCAGGAGAGUCUUGUUCCUGUAAAGGAAAUAAAGUGAGUCAUUCCAUGGUCAUAUAUUGAUAAGUAAUACUGAUGGAAACUGGAUGGCUUACUUGCUUCAAGGCGAUCUCUCGCCUUUGACUGGAAGAUGCCGAUGGAAUCACAGGUUGAUCGGCUGAGACUGCCGGUUGAGCUAUAUCAGCUAAAAAAAUAACAGAGAUAAUUGUAAGACAGAGAGAAUAAGUUCAUCGACAGUAAUCUCAUGAAAUAUAUUACCUUGAGGAAGAGCAAUACUUGUCUGGAUGGAAGAGAUCACCGAUGCUGCUGGGUCGGUAGUUUGUUCAUGCACGUCAGCCGAUGUGUCUUCUGGCUGAAGUACUUCUGGUUGAAAUUCCUCUGGAUGAGGAUCUUCUGCUUGUGGUGCUUCUUGCGGUUGAGGAGGAGAUGGUACUUGCUGAGUCUGUGUUUCUGGAGGAGAAGGAGAAGAUUCCACCGGAAUUGGAGAAACCGGAGGGGAAAGGGGAGUUGCCACUCUCUGGCGCUUUAUUUGUGCUCUGGUACUCCUGGUACCUUUUCUCUUCUGCUGGCUGGACUGGGGGGCAUCAGCACCUUUGCUUUUGGUCCUUGCCGAUGCGCUGGAGUGCUGAUACAGAAAGAAAGACACGUAAGUACAAGUUUGACAAAUAUAAGAAUAAGAUCGGUAUAAAAAUUGAAGGUAUACCCUGAACGCCUGUGCCAAGGUAGAAGUAGCUACCGAUGAGGACAUAUGAGUCCUCUUGGUGGUAACUUUCUUGAGGCGAACACCUCGAUGCAUGAUGGCGGCCAGGGUAGGAGCGUUGUUGCCGAUUGAAGAGAUUGAACCUGAUGGAAACAGGUCAAUCGGCUUGCCGCUCCUGCUAACCGAUGGAGGGGUGUUGUCAACCUACAAGAUGAUACAAAGGUGAAUCACCGAUGGAAAUAAGACUAAGAAAAUCAAAACAUCGGUUUGAAGAUACUUACAGUAUUAUCGGGAACUUCAUACUCGGGGUCGAUCAUGCCGCGGUACGUAAGAGCCGAUCUGCAGAACAGAUGCUCUUUCCAUUCUGCCCACCAUUGCUUGUACGCCUGAGUGAUGAAGGCGGCUGGAACCCACUCUGUCAAGUCUGCAUCUGUAUCGGCACUUGAUGGCAGUUGGGCUACUCGGGUCCAUUCAAGGAGGCUGGUGAUGGUUUCCCUGGGUUUUAUCACAUCGGCAUAAUAGAGUGCAGUCGGUAGCUGGCCGAAAGCUAAUUGACGAGCUAGUACCGAUGGAUUGUAAAACUCAUAGGUCUGGACGGAGGUUUUCCCACUGCCAAAGAAAUUCACUGGUAUAGCUCUAGGAGUGAUCAGUGCCAUCAUCACUUCAUGAUCCUUGUUGAGAGCGUCAUUGAACGGAUUGAAAACCAGAGGAAACAUGGUGUCUGGAUCAUCAUAAGGCAACCAUGCUCGCUGCUCUCUGGUCAAGCCUUCGUACAAGGUUUGGAAGAAUCGGCUGACCUGAUCUGGAUUACCUCCUGUGCCAGGCAGAGCUAUGACAGCCUCACCGAAGUUUAGGGGAGGACGUGUUGCCGAUUCUUCUUCAUCCAGUUCGUAGUCCUUGGCUAUGUCCCUUGGGAAACGCUGUGCAAAAAGAUCGAACUCAAGACGCUUGUGCAUGUGGAGGCUGAGCCACAUGUCGAUGAACCACUAGGGACCUCCCAAGUUACCGAUGGGCUGGCCGAGUAGGAGUUUUCUGGUCACUUGGUGAAGGAGGUGAUAGGCUGCACCGAGCAGGUAUCGGUCGAGGGGAAAUUGGCCACCGUUAGCCAGUCUCUCUGCUGCCGAUAGAUAGACUGAGGUCAGGCCUGCCGAUCGGCCACAGAAUACGAACUUGUCCAGCCACAUGUUUAGAAAGGUGGUUUGUUCCUUUAUAUCGACGGACCCCGUUUUGCGGUACUUCUGAAUGUACCCGGACCAGCCACCGAUGGAGCGGGUUUCUACCUUGGCACUGGGCGUGGUGUCAAAGAAAUGGGUGCUAUCGGCAGAAGAUACAUCUAGGCCAGUGAGCAUAACUACAUCGGCAAGUGUAGGGGAAGCAGGGCCAUGGCCAAAGACAAAGGCAUUGAGCGUGUCCGACCAGAAGUAUGAUGCAGCUAUCAACAGUGAUUCGUUCCUAUGCAUAUCGGCAAUAGACAACCUGAUGCAUUGGUCUAGUUUUCUCUCGCCCCAUUGGACUUCAUUUGAGUGGCUGACCCUCAAGAACCAAUCCUUCCAUCCCACGGUAGGACUGGGCCAGGAACGAAAGGUAUCCUUCCAUAGAUCCAAAGAGAAAUUCUUGGCUCUGAAAGGGAUCUUGUUGGUUUCUGCGUUAAUGAGGUCGGUUGGAUCUGGAUUCCCUAACGGACCAAGACAUUGGAGGUGUGGUUGAUCGGUGGGGAUGACGAUUUUGUUGGACAGAUUCUAAUGGUUUUGAAGGUGAAAGAAAAAACAAAGAAAGAAAAAAAAGAGGAUGUUCAGUAAAAUAGAUUGCGGAUGAAUAGGGAUGCGAAAAAAGCACAAAAGGUGGAGUGAAGAACUGACCUCAGGAACGGUGAAGUUGAUGGCCAUCUCGCCACGAAGAGGAUGAUCGAGGGCUUCGGAGUUGGUGAAGAAGGACUUCGUCGGAGAUCUUGGAGCUCUCGAACAGUGCCGCCGCCGGGAAAGUGGAGUUGGAGCUGUGGAAUGAUGUGAUGGGGAAGAAGUACCCGAGAAGGAACUAUUUAUAGGACAAAACGGGCAAGGACAAAUCUGACUUAUCUCCUCGCCGUAUCCGUGAAAUCUGAGGGUACUCAGGUAGAUAUGGUAACUGUUCGCACGAUGAUCAAGGGAUUGUGCAGGCGAUUUGACAGGAAGCGGUCAUUAUCUAGAGAUAUUUUACUGUGCGAGAUCUCCUGGUCGGUCCAUCGGCAGCGCCUUGUAACGGUCAUAUUGCCGAUGGGCGUGUAAAGUGGAGAUAGCCGUUUGGGAGGAAAAGAUAUGGACGUCCUGAUCAGUCCAUCGGCAAGUCCCUGUAACGGUAAUAUUGCUGAUGCGUGACUAAAAUGGAAAUGUCCGUUUGGGAGGUUGAGGAUUUGGAGGAAUCUGCAGAGGAAUAGGAUCAGAGUUGUUCAGAUUAAGGCUGUCGGUUACUAGAUUGGGAGCAUUAAUUGCAGAAAGGCAUCAUUACCGCAGAGAAUUUCAGAGCAUUAACGAUUUCAUACUCCGAAAUUGGGGGGCAUGUGUUGAUGCCGUUUUUGGGCGCGUAUCCAUGAUUGGUAAAGUGUAGGCCGACACGAUAAGACGGCAGUGCUUGAUCUUCAGGGUAAGUUGCCGAUGAGGAUGGUUGCCGAUGGGGGGAUGGCUGAACGUGACCAAGUCCAUAGGUAAUGAUGUGUUUGUGCCGAUGACUACCACAAGGCAAUCUGCCGAUGAUGCGGGGGAAGAGUUUGGAAGUUGCCGAUCGGCUUGAGGAGGUGUUCCAGUUUGUCACGCGGGGAUAGUUUUAUGUUUUCCUUAGUUAUUUAAAUCGUUUUGUAUACGGAUUCUGUUUAAUUUGGAAUUCGAUUUCUAGUCAUGUCUGGUUGUAGCUCUUUGGGUAGGGUAUAAAUGUGGACCCUAGGGCCUUGUAACAAUGAAUCAAUCAAUCAAACAUCAGUUUUUACUCAUAUUCCAGCAUCUACUAUUUCGACGACUUCGUCAUACUUUUUUCUUUUUAUUACGAGUUCUUAGGAAUUCGUCGACUUAAGCUCGGCGUGUUCUCAAGUUCCGCGUGAAUACCUCUUGGCCGUGGCAUCCGGGCGCAUCGCUGUUGUCGGGACCAAAGUAUUCGAGUUACCACCUUUGCCGAUAGUAAGGUCAAAUCGGCUGGCACGCCUUAACGUUUAAAUCGGGUAUUAGCCUUUUGUGUUUGCAGAUUAGCUUUUGCAUCAACAAAUCGGCUUCGGACUGACUGUGGCGGUGAGUUCACGGAGGUUGAAUUCACCAUGUACUAUGCUGAGGAGGGAGUAGGGCAUCAUCUCAUAGGGCCCUACUCACCGCAGCAGAACGGCGUGGUGGAGCGACGAAAUCAAACCAUCAUCGCCAUGGCGUGAUCCAUGCUGAAUGCGAAGGACAUGCCGGUUGAACUUUGGGGGGGAGGCGGUGGGCACGGUAGUGUUCAUCCUGAACCGUUGCCCCACGAAGGCGUUGAAGGGGCAGACUCCGUACGAAGCUUGGCACGGGCGCGAGCUGAACGUCACGUUCCUACGCAUGUUCGGGUGCGUCGGCCAUGUGAAGACCACCAAGCCGGGCCUCACAAAGCUGGAAGAUAGGAGCACCAAGGUGGUGUUCCUCGGCUACAAGGAGGGAUCUAAGGCUUAUCGGCUCUAUGAUCCGGUCGGCGGUAAGGUGUUGGUGUCACGAGAUGUGGUGUUCGACGAGGCGGCGGCGUGGAAGUGGGACAAGGCAGAGGAGCAAGGAGGCAGUGGGCAUGGCGACACUUUCAUCAUGGAAUGCUUGACGAUCCAUGAUAGGGAAGAGGAGUCUUGAGAGCUAGCAAUCGGGGAAGCCGGUGACAUUACAGCUCCAGAGGUGGUGGAGCCAUCAAGUCAAGCAGUGGCUGGAACGCCAGUUGUGGGGGUAUAAACCCCUAUACCCUUACGACUAGACUUGGGCCAGGAGGCUUGGCCCAUCACAUGACAAAUUCGGGACUUUAUCCAACUGCUCGGAGUUUCGCGCAAGGAAACAAGACGUGGAGAUCAAGUAGGAUUCUAGUCGGUUAGGAUAGAAAUUGAUAUCGUACUAUCUAUGGAAAUUGUAACCGACUAGGAUUGGUUUCCAGAUCUGUAACCCUGCCCUCCGGACUAUAUAAGGAGAGGCAAGGGACCCCCCUAGGACAUCGAAUCUCAACUCGACACAAUCCAUAGCAAUACAAUCAGACGCAGGACGUAGGUAUUACGCCCACACGGCGGCCGAACAUGGAUAAAAACCUUGUCCGUGUCUUGCGUCACCAUCAAGUUCGUUGCUUGCGCACCGUCUACUGAUAAACUACUACCGUGGGUAUACCCCAAGGCGGCGUCAACAAACUCUUUCGACUCUUGCCGGCCAACUCGUGUCACCACACACGAACAGCUGGAGACGUCCCUAACAAUAACAUCGACCCCCAGGGGACGAUCUGUCAAGCUCAAGACAGCUGAAGACCAGAAUUGCCCUUAUGGUCUAAACAAAUCGACCGACCAGUAUUCUCGGCAUACCCAAUUUCUAUUCAGCAGGGCGGGCUUGUCGUCGGGACAGAGCAGCCGGGCAGCUCACCAUUACGUCAACAUGGUAUCCAUCCGAGUCCUGUCGGACGAUAAGGCUACCAGUACGAACUCCAGUACAGGGUCUGUCCCUACCGAGGUUUUACACUCCGAGGACGAAGAUUACGACCUGGAUUUGCCACCAUACCCUCCAGGUUUUUCUCGUUUUCCAGUCUUUCCACCCCAGCGAGGAGAUCUCGUCUUUAACGUCGGCAACGAUGAACCGGUUGUCGACGGCGAAACCGACGAGCAGAAGCAACUCCGCGAGCAGCGCAAUGCCGAUCGUGCUCGGCGGCGCACGGAUGAGGAACGACAACUUGCGCCACACAACCUCAGUGAUGCUUUCGACAUGGUCGGGGAUCAGCCAGUCUACAAGACGCCAAGCGCGAACGUGGCUGUCGCCAUGGCAAAUCUGGACCGACUCCCCGACACCCUGGAGUGCCAGGGCGUCCGGUCCAGUAUACGGGCGCAUCUGAUCGCUGCGAUGGGACAGACAGCCACUUUGCUCAAAAGGGUCCAAGCCGUCCCCUACACGGAGGUUUCCUCUGACCAGACUCAUCGCAGCCGGACUUCACCGUGACCCAGCGGGCGCCAUCAUAGCCGCUCCCUCAACGGUCGCAGAAAGGACGCUGGAUGCGACAACCGUGGUGAGGACAUGGGUGGUUAUCGUGAGCAGAGGCACGGGCGUGGUCAGGAAGUAAACCAGGAUAGGGAUCUACGCUAUAACAUCCCUCCCAAGGAUGCCCGCGACUGCAUCAACAGGCGCGCUACGGAAAGAGCGGUACACGAAAACCUACGACGCAUUGAGUAUGAUGCAGCACACGGCCCCCUGGCCUAAGAUAGUUCUCUUCACACCUUCGCCAGGUCGUAUGGCCCCGCAACUUUAUGCUCGAGAAGCUUAAAAAAUACGACGGCAAGGAGAAUUCUAAAAAUUGGAUCACUCUCUACGAGAUCGCAGUCCGAUCAACAGUAGGAGACGAGCACGUCAUGGCAAAUUACUUCCCAGUCGUCCUUGACCAAGCUAGCCAUCAGUGGCUCCUCGGCCUGCCUGAGGACUCCUUCGAUUCUUGGGAAGAACUGUGCCAGGCGUUUAUUGACAAUUUCAUCGCUACCUGCAAGCAGCCUAGAAACUAAUACGAUCUCGAGAGAAUAAGGGACAGAAAGAACGAGCCCUUGCGCGAUUACAUCCGACGAUUCUCGGAUAUGCGCCUUAAGAUUCCAAAAAUUUCUCACGACGAGGCCAUAUCAGCCUUCAUCAAAGGUCUACGCUUCCAUGAAGCACUAAGGAAUAAGCUACUGCGCAAAAGGCGGACCACGGUUACCGAGCUCCUCGCCACGGCAAAAAACUACGCUGAUGCCGAUGACGCAGAAAAACUCAUCCGAGAAGAUGCGAGAGGCGCCCACCAGCCUUCCCGACGAGACGACAGUCGCGGACGCUUCGACAACCGAAACCCUCACCGCAGUGACAACCGCGACCACCGAGAAGGUUGGGACAAGCGACGCGACAACCGUGAUGAUUUUAUAAGCAAGCGACCUCGUGACCACGACCACGAGGUGAACACAAUCAAGCGCCCCAACGGACGACGGGACUAUCAGGAAGACUACAACAAGACACUAAAAGGACCAUGCCAACUCGAUCCCAAGUCCAACCAUACGAUGGAAGAAUGUCGCGUCCUAAAAAGCAUCUAUACUCAGCGGGCCGCUCAGGGAGACUCUGUUAAGAAAAAUGGGAAACAAGAUAGGCACGAAGACGAAGACGACGACCAGGAUAGGGACCCGCGGCACCAGUAUGUCAGCCCUACCGAUGUGGUACAUUCCAUCUUUGGAGGCAAAGUUUCCAUCGAAUCCAAACGAGAAAGGAAGCUCCUGAAGAGAGCCUGCCUCAAUGUGGACAGCUCGGAUGGUCUGAUCACUGACCCGAAGUUUCCCCCUGGUCGCACAGAGAGAUCUCCUUCAACAGGCAGGACUAGUGGGCUGCAAUCCCAGAGCCAGGACGUUUUCCUCCGAUCCUAGACCCUUGCAUCUACAGCGUCAGAUUCGAGCGCGUGCUUGUCGACGGAGGCAGCUCCAUCGAUAUUGUUUUCCACAAUAGCCUGCCUGCUCUCAAGCUAACUUUAGCGCAACUGAAGCCAUAUGACGCUCAGUUCUGGGGCGUCCUGCCAGGUCAAAGUUCAGUACCCCUCGAGCAGACAACGCUGCCUGUCCAGUUUGGAACACCCGACCACUUUCGCAUAGAGUUCGUCAACUUUGUGGUCGCCGACUUUGACGGUACCUAUCACGCAAUUCUAGGUCAUCCCUCGCUGACCAAGUUCAUGGCGGUCCCGCACUACUUGUAUUUGGUCCUCAAGAUGCCAACUGAGAAAGGCGUCUUGACCGUCAGAGGCAACAUCUACACCGCAUACACUUGCGAGGAGGAAAGCUUCAACAUCACUGAGGCAAUUGAUCUCUCGAUUCGCAUGACAGAAACUGUAGCUCAAGCCACGCAAGUUCCACCCGACUAGCUCCAACUACCUGAGCAGGAGACUCCAAGGAAAAACUCAAAGUCCAAAGAGCACAAGGAAGUACAGCUGGUCGACGGCAACCCCGAGAAGACGGCUCUCAUCGGGGCCAACCUGGACCCCAAAUAGGAAGACGCGCUCGUUAGGUUUCUAAGGGACAACGUAAGAAUUUUUGCAUGGAAACCCAUAGACAUGCCCGGCGUCCCACGAAACCUGGUCGAGCACUCCUUAAAUGUCUUGAAGACCGCAAGACUGUUGACGGUCCUUAAGUAUCAAAUUUAAUCAUCAAAUAAAUAAAGAAAAGGAUCCAAAUGCAACGAACACCUAGACUUAGGGUUUUAUCUAACAGAAUUCCACAAGUUUUGGUGUUUGUCUAUUUCUGUAGGGGGUUAUCAGGAAAUAUGGAGGAAAGGCUCACACGUCGGGUUUACAUAGAGAUAUUAACGUGCCGCGCAAUUUUCUAUCAUCUAGAAGACUCCAGAAGUCACAAGAACGAACGGGAAGCCAAGCGGGCUCGGGGGUAGGGCGCCCGCCCGCCCCCCUUGGGCGCCCACCCAGCUACAGAGUCCAAUCCGGACUCGUUUCGCGGAUUACGCUCCACCGACCUAAAGGAUCAAGGAUAACCGUUCAAUCAAUGUCGGUUUGAUCCGACGGCCUAGAUUCACUUGAGGGGACUAUAUAAGUAGACCCCCUGGCCCCUGGAGGAGGCACCGCUUGAUCCCUAUUAAUUAUUCAUAGACAGAGCAAAAGCUAGGGUUUGGAGAUGAGAGCUCUCCUCUCAUCUCUAAACUAGAGUAGAUCUAGAUAGUAGCGAGAUGGAGAGCGAGGGAGGAUUGGAGGAGAGGCCGGCCUGUCGGUUCUUCCUCUGGUUGUACUUCGCCAUGAUCAAGCUCUAAUCAAGCUUGCUCAUGGGAUGACUCUGGUAAUCUACUUCUAAUUCAUUAUGCAAUUACUAAUCAUGUAUGUUCUGGUUCACAACUCUUUUGAGUACUUUAAUCUAUAGGACGCUAUAGGUGAUAGUUGUAGUAUAGGUGUAAGCGUGGUGCUUAGACCUAGAUUACUUGUGGAUAUCCCCUGUCUAGCUAGAUCGUGUGGUAGGCCGCGUAGGUGACAGUUACGUUGAUCCUCUGUAGUCCACCUCUUGUUAGCAGGACGGGUAGGGUUUAUCGCCCUAUGGAUAAGCAUCCUUUGUGGUGUAUUCUUAUCACGUGGUUCGUCCCAGACAUAGACAUACCCCUUUGAAGUAGAGAAACCAUAGUUAUCCUCUCUAUUCUGCUACCAUCGCCCAUAUAUUAGAUUGCUCUACUCUCUAUUCCCAUAUUAUCACCCAUUGUUAUUUUACCUUUAAUAUUGUUCUUAUUCAAUUCUACCAUCUUUCCUAUUUACACCUACCUAUCUAUCUAGGUUAAGUUAGAGCGUAGAUCAGUUCUCCCGUUUUCCUGUGGAUACGAUAAAACCUUUAACCGGGUAAAAGCUACAACGGUAUCCGUGCGCUUGCGGAUUUAUCUGUGUGCGUAUAAAUACCAUAGUACACUCUAGUGCCAUGGUGGGGAUGACAACCUAGUAUUCAAGUGGUGUUAGCUAGUUUUAACAAGCAUUUUUGACGCCGUUGCCGGGGAGACGGUUGCUGAGUUGACUACGAACUAGCUUAAUCAUUUUCUAAAAAAAAUAUUUUUCCUUUUACCCUUUGCCUUAUCUCUGCUAUUCUUUCUUCUUAUCUAAUCCUUGAUCUCUGGUCUAUCAUGAAUUCAAACAUGUCUAUCUACGAAUUCCAUAGACCUACGGGCACACAUCUCGAACCACCAAAAUCUUCAAAGCCUAUCAUAGCAUCUAGUUUUGAGAUAGACCCCGAAUACAUAGAAUUUUUUCAAAAACAACCUUUCUCAGGAGAAGGUGAAGAAAACCCAUACAUACACCAAAGAGAGUUUUAUCGAGUCUGUGACCUCCUUCGCAUAAAAGGCAUGUCCGAUGAGACCCUUAAAUGGAAGCUCUUUCCGUUCUCUUUAAUAGGAAAAGCUAGACAUUGGUAUAAACUCAAAGUAGGGAGUGUUCAUGGAGAUUGGAAGGAGAUACAUAAUAGUUUUCUUUUAAAAUAUUUUCCAAUCUCUAAAGUGGCGGAACUUCGGCGUGAGAUUAUUUCUUUUAGACAACUGGAGGAAGAAUCUCUUGGCAAAUCAUGGGACCGCUUUAUUAACCUUACUCUCAUUGGCCCAAAGCUUUCUAUUCCACAAGAAGUUCUUCUAAUUCACUUUUUUGAGGGCCUUAGUAUGGAAAAUAAGCAAACAUUGAAUACAGCCUCCGGAGGAUCUUUCCAUCACCUAUCCGCUAGUGAAGCUUGGAAUUUGAUUGAUUUAAUGAGCGAAAAGUCUCCUAGCUUUUAUAUCCCUGAGAAAGAGAAAGAACCAGUUCCUAGACAAGAAGAAGAAGUUUCGAUAGCCACAUCACAACCACUUCAAUUCCAAACUUUAGCUAUCGAUCCUAAACCAUCAAUACCCCAAAAUUCUCCAAGGGAGGAAGUAAUUCCGACCUUAAAUCUUUUAGAUACUGAUGGUUUAGACUUCUGGUUCCAUAAGAGACCUUCAAGCAGGGAUAAUUCAAAUCCUUGCAAUAAUGUUUCUCUUAGAAAAUGUCCUGGUUCCUUUUAUGAAGAAGUCGAGGAUGACAUAUCAAGUGAAGGAGAGCUAAGCCAUAUAGAAAAUUCUAUCAGCUCCCCUUUCCUGAUCACAAGUUCUAAAUGGCUAGAAUGUGUAGAAUGGAUGGAUAAGGAAGAAGCCUUAAUGGAUUCUGACUUUGGCUAAAAUGGUGAGUUCUUGACUCCCUUUGAAAAUGGGAUUCAUCCAACUAUAGAAGAGGACAUAGGUGAGACCAAUCCAGGAGAAAUUUCAAACAUUCAGAUUGGAGACGAAGAUAACAUUAAUGAGCAUGGAAUUUAUUUCAAAGCCAUCUCAUUUACUCCAUGCUCAUAUGCAACAUCUUCCCAAUCUAUUGGUCUCUCCAACAUCACCACAUUUGAGAUCUCCAACCCCCUCUUCCUUUAUAUUUAUAAAAACUUUAAAAGGGCGGUUGUCAAUGCAUAUGUCUAUAAUAAAUAUUGUAGAUCUCAUUGAGUUGAUCUUGAUAUAGGUCAGCGUUGGAAGGGAAACCACUACGCCGAGAUAAAUUGAUGGUUUCCCAAGGACAAGCUUAGUGUCCUAAAAUAUGCAUUGAUCAGAUCGUAACAUGAGCUUUUAAUUAUUUGCAACAUUACCUUGUGUAUUGAGCAUAUAAGGAUAAUUGUAAAAAUAUUCCUUCGGGUAUUCUUGUCACUAACCUUUCUAAGAUUGGAGCAAGAAGAUCGGAUGAAUGACAAGCACAAGGUACGUCCAACCGAUCAUCAUACAACAUUGAAUUAAGUUCAUCCAAACUUGAAUUUUGCAAAAUUCAAGCUUGGCGAAGUACCUUACAUAAAAACAUCUUUUGUCAUGUUGCUAUGUUGGUUGUCCCUACCUUUGAAACAUGCUUAAUUUGUUAAAUACUAAUCACACUACUUCAUCUCCAUUUGAGUCGAUCUCUAUAAAUGCUGUCAUGCUACCUUUAUCUAUUUACUAGCAAGUGUUGGUUUGGAAGUACUCGCCAUACUUCCAUUGGCAUUUAAAUUAAGCAUGGUGCUUAGGUUAAAUAGCCUUCCUUAAUCUGAUUAGACAUGGAGUCUAGUUUGGUUAUUGAACUAAAAACUGCUUGAGUAGAUAUUGGUAUAUUUUGUCGGACUAACCCCUGCAGGAAAACUUUCAAUAUCAACCUGGGAAGUCCUGAGAUAAACUCACAUUGGAGACAAGGAGAGGGACACAUGAAGUUUAACAAUUUGCACAAGAAGGACAUAGCUCAUUCAUCAUAGAGAGAUGAUCCAUGGAAGGAGACAAAGUACAUAAACAAGAUACACAACCACUACGAAUGGGAAGCUUCCACAAGGUGAGAUGGUACCAUCACUCUUCAAUUAAGGUAACAUCUUAAGAUAUCUGACUAUCACUUUUAUAAGCUUCUCCUUGGUUCUGGCGUUCACAUAAAUAAAGAGACAAACAUGUAUGAUUUAUAACUCCAAAUUAACCAACCCAACUGACUCAGCAUGUUUAGUCCUUUAAUCUUUGUUCCUAGUACUACCUCCAUGAUCCCACACUCCUAAUCAUAUGAGCUAAAAUGUUACACAUUCAAUCUUUGAGAGAUAUAAAGAAAAAGACAUAUACAUAGAUAGAUUAUCUUUCCAUAAGGUUGAGCGAUCUGAUCUGACAAAUGUUAUAAGUACUGCACUCAUGAACUUAUCAUCCAUCACCAUUGUCUUGCUCACUAUGCUUAAGGUUAGAGAAGAACAAAUACACUUUUGGUUCUGUGGGUGUUUUCCACCAACAGGACCCAUGCACUUGAUCUCUGCCUUGUCUCUAUGAGCAGGUACACUUCAAGCAAAAUAUGGAGGAGUUUUAUAACUCUCAGACUCUACCAAAUGAAGGACCUGGAUCUACGAGCACAAACACACUGAGCAGGAUGCUGCCAACGCCGCACUUCGAACUGCUGGGCAAACGAAGAACAUGGGUGACACCGUAUCAAGAGGUGCAGACGUCAAGGUCCACACCUGAAUCAAAUGGCGCACCUAAAGAAUGAACACGGUGAGAAGUCUUGUUCAGAAGACUUAAAACAUUGGAUCCUUCCGGAAGGUAAAAUCGGUAUUUAUCCAUAUUUAUCUUUUCUGCAAUCCUUUUCCUUUUUUUAUUUCAUCACUUGCAUUAGUAUAUUUACUUUUCCACAUUAGCAUUAGAAAAGAAAACAAAAAUAUUUGUUCAUUGCACUGUAUCAUAAAAUCUAAAGCCCCAUGUGAGUAGACUUGUGGUUUAAAACCCAUAGGUAUAUUGACUGUGGUGGUAUAAAAUAAAUAUGUUUUGAUCUUACAAUAAAAAAAAUAAUAAGUGCAUGAUCCUGCUAAAUAAAUAAAAUUUAUUAGGGGGAAUAUCAAUAUGAUAAAGGCUAAGAGAUUUUAUGCUAACACUUAACCAUUCCACAAAGCUUUGUUGUCUAUUUGAGCUCCACAGAAUUCAAGGAUCAAAGAAGACUAGCAAACGGAGGACAUCCUAAUCGCUGUCAGGGUGCUGCCGACAUUCAAAUACACCUCCGUCAACUGCUAGCUACAUCAGAAGAAAUUACGUCAAAAUCCAGCUUGGGGGAGAGCACCCCCAUUUAUCCAGCUAAGUGUUUCUACUCAUAUUUAUACUUUACUCAAAUAAUAAAAAGACGCAUAAUCGUAAAAACCCAAAUAAAGAUUUUAUGCUUAUAUAUAUAUAUAUAUCUUUUCUUAGUUUGCUAAAUAAAUAAAUAAAUAAAGUUUGCUAUGAACCCUCAUAAUAGGCUCUCACAUGGAAAUGAUGAAUAGUUGCUCUGCCAUGAUUAGUUCUCAAAAUUGAAAUCUCUCACAAGUUUAGGUAUGACUGUUAUGAAUUAAGAUUUGCUCUAAACCUAAACUUGUGGGAAGAGUACUUGAUCUAAAGUCUAAACGGAUAUGAUAUGGGAAGGUUGAGCUGCUGUUUAUCUGUUCCUAGAGAUGCUAGAAUUCUGGAGAAUUUUAUCUUUAAAAAUCUUUAAAAUAUUGCAUGAUGAGUUCCUGUAUAAUGAGAGUUUAAAAUCCUACCACAGCCAUAUAUACAUGCUUAUUAGACUAUGAACCAUACAUUUACUUUUUACUGCUUAUGAGCAUUGAGUGUGGUCAAGCUGUGUAGACCCUUAGGAGCUUGUCAUGCGGUUAAAAUCAAGAUUCACUUGCACGUUCACUCAUACAUGCUGCUUCUACUCCGAUAGUACGCAUCCACAUACAUCCACUCAUUUCCAUAUCCAGAUUCACCUAAAAUUAUUCUAUUCCUAUCCAGGAGAGAAUAGCCAAAAAUAUUAUCCUAUCCCUGUUAUUCCCCAUGAAAUAAAUGCUCGAGAUAUUUUGGUUACUACCACUUGCUACAUUAUUCCAAGAGGGUGAGUGCUCUGAAAAAAAAAGAAAAGUGAAUACGAGGAAAUAAAAAGGGGCAAGUGCCCGGAACCUCGAAAGAAAAGAAAAAGUAAGACGAGAGGUAAAAAUGGACAAGUGUCCGACAGUAGAAUUAGGGGUACAAGAUACCCACCUGAGAGAAAAGAAAAAGAAAAUAUAGAGCAUCUCAUUCCUCUCAAAAACCUUCAAAGUGCAAGAAAGGUAUGUAUCCCCUCAAAAGAGCAAAAGUAGAAUUAGACUUUCACCAUUAUUUUCAACAUUAUCACCAUCAUCACCAUACACCAUUCAUUCGCCACGCAUGCACAUCUUGAUUUGACUUAUUGACUUGUUUCUCUAGAUCCAUGGUUUGACUAUGCAAUAAAUGUCUUGUAAGUAUGUAUUAGCUGUCUCCCACCUAUGAGCCCAGAUAUCAAAACCUUGUUAGAGUAGGGUGAGAGAGAAGGCAAUAAUAUCAUUAUGCCUCAUACCACAAAUACCACAUACUUUGAGAGAAGGCAUAUAUCAUCACUGCCUUGGUAAGGAUCCAGAAAUACCACAAAAGAGAGACUAGAGAGAGUCAUACAAGGAAUCUCUGAGUUUUAUUUGAAAAUCUACAAAAACUCCAGAGCUAUAGUUGAUCAAAGAACAAGAGACAUGGUGCUUCACUUGACCGUUCUAUCUUUUAACUGCUCAAGACACAAUUGACGGUUGCAAGCCCCAUGGUGGAAGGUAAUAUGAGUAAACUUAAAUCUUAAUAGUUUAUCUUAACCUAGACAUGAGAUCUUGUUUGAACGCAUGAGUACCUUUAAGGCAUAAAACCACAGCAAAAACUCUUGAGUCCAUCUUUGCUCAGGGACGAGCAAGAGGUAAGCUUCGGGGAGUUUUUUGACGGUCCUUAAGUAUCAAAUUUAAUCAUCAAAUAAAUAAAGAAAAGGAUCCAAAUGCAACCAACACCUAGACUUAGGGUUUUAUCUAACAGAAUUCCACAAGUUUUGGUGCUUGUCUAUUUCUGUAGGGGGUUAUCAGAAAAUAUGGAGGAAAGGCCCACACGUCGGGUUUACAUAGAGAUAUUAACGUGCCGCGCAAUUUUCUAUCAUCUAGAAGACUCCAGAAGCCACAGGAACGAACGGAAAGCUGAGCGAGCUCGGGGGCAGGGCGCCCGCCCUCCCCCCUUGGGCGCCUGCCUAGCUAUAGAGUCCAAUCAGGACUCAUUUCGCGGAUUACACUCCACCGAUCUAAAGGAUCAAGGAUAACCGUUCAAUCAAUGUCGGUUUGAUCCGACGGCCCAGAUUCACUUGAGGGGACUAUAUAAGCAGACCCCCUGGCCCCUGGAGGAGGCACCCCUUGAUCCCUAUUCAUUAUUCAUAGAUAGAGCAAAAGCUAGGGUUUGGAGAUGAGAGCUCUCCUCUCAUCUCUAAACUAGAGUAGAUCUAGAUAGUAGCGAGAUGGAGAGCGAGGGAGGUUUGGAGGAGAGGCCGGCCUGUCGGUUCUUCCUCCGGUUGUACUUCGCCAUGAUCAAGCUCUAAUCAAGCUUGCUCAUGGGAUGACUCUGGUAAUCUACUUCUAAUUCAUUAUGCAAUUACUAAUCAUGUAUGUUCUGGUUCACAACUCUUUUGAGUACUUUAAUCUUUAGGACGCUAUAGGUCAGAGUUGUAGUAUUGUCGACAAAAGCUAGUCGGCAGUCUACCCAGGGGUAUACCCACGGUAGUAGUUUAUCGGUAGACGGUGCGGAAGCUACGAACUCGACGGAGAUGCAAGACACAGACAAGGUUUUUAUCCAGGUUCGGCCGCCGUGUGGGCGUAAUACCUACGUCCUGCGUCUGAUUGUAUUGGAUUGUGUUGAGAGAAUCUCCUUGGGGGGUCCCUUGCCUCUCCUUAUAUAGUCCGGAGGGCAGGGUUACAGAUCUGGAAACUAAUCCUAGUCGGUUACAAUUGCCAUAGAUAGUUCGAUAUCAUUCCUAUUCUAACCGACUAGAAUCCUGCUUGAUCUCCACAUCUUGUUUCCUUGCGCGAAACUCCGAGCUUGUCGGAUCAAGCCUCGAACUUGUCUCGUAAUGGGCCAAGCCUCCUGGCCCAAGUCUAGCCGUAAGGGUAUAGGGGUUUAUACCCCCACAGCUAGUCCCCGAGCACCAUGUAUUGUGAAGUAACACGCCGUCUUGAGCUUCUUCAACUAGUGAGGUUUGACAUCUUCAAUAAGCAGGAAGGUCGCCCAAACAGUUGCAACGGUAUUUUGACCAACUCAAAAGAUAAUUGACCAACAUUGACAUCGAAGAAGCAGGUUGUUCGAAGAAUGCAUGGUGCUCUUGAGAAAAAAUAUUUCUUUUCUCGAUGAAGUGUGCCCACUUUACUUUUAUAAAAAGUAUGUCCUUAACAAAAAAGGCAAGCAAGUUCACCACAAGGUGAAGUGUGCCCACUUAGUCCCCGAGCAUGGUAGCAGGUGUCGUAGGCACGUGGUGCCAGGGUCAAAAGAAAAGUCCUCAAAGAAAUUCUUAAACUGAGAUGCAUCGCCAGAUGCAUCGUACCGAUGUAGUCCCCGAGCUUGCUGGAAGGCGAAGUAUGAGCCAUGUAGCAAGGUCUAAAAAAUUCAAGUUUUCUAGUCCCCGAGCAUCUCAUGCUCAUUUGCCAUCGGGUAGACUUACCAACCAGUCCCUGAGCGUGUAGUGCUCGGUGGUUGGUGCAGUACCCAGAUUUCCAAACUGGCAGACUGGUCGACCAGUACCCAAGCAUACAGUGCUCGCUGGUCGGUGCAGUCCCUAGAUCUCCAAACUGGCAGACUGGACGACCAGUCCCCAAGCAUACAAUGCACGGUGGUCGGUGCAGUCCCCAGAUCUCCAAACUGGCAGACUGGACGACCAGUCCCCGAGCAUACAGUGCUCGGUGGUCGGUGCAGUCCCUAGAUCUCCAAACCGGCAGACUGGACGACCAGUCCCCGAGCAUACUGUGCUCGGUGGUCGGUGUAGUUCCCAGGAACGUUGAUCCUCUACCAAUUUUCGUCUGUUAUUUUGAAAAACAUCUCAUCACAUAAAUGGGUGAUGUGACGAGACCUCCUGACGCAUUGUCAGAUGGUUGCGUGAAAAGGUGCACCCGGUAACUGCGCAGCCGCUCUUUGCGUGGUUCAAGAAAAGGAAACCAUUAAUUAUGCAAAAAGGCUGCCGUAUUAACUGCUGGUAAUUGUUGGAAGCCGAAACGCCGCAUCUGCCGCUGGGCCCGCCCACUUCCCAAGAAUGCGGGAAGUGGGAGGGGUGGAGUUGUUACUUAUAAAAGCUUGAUGGUGCCCCCGUAUCGUUUACCCUGCCAUUGCCUUCAAGCUUUCCAUUCUUGCCUUCUGCAACCAUCAUCAAUCCCCCAACCUCGUAGUCAUUCCCACAGUGUUAAUGGCGAAAAGCGACUCCAAGAAGAGGGCCGAGCUGAUGGCUAAGGAAUGGAAGAAGUCUCGGAGCAGCGUGAGGUCCCUCAAUGACCUCGUCGGCAUGGGUCUACUACACAGCCAAGAGCUCGGCGGCUGGAGGGUGCCGGAGGGGGAGAGCUACCCCGACCCCCGUGCCGGUGAGAUAGUGGUUUUCGAAGAUUUUUUCAACAGGGGUUUCGGGGUUCCUGUCCAUCCUUUUCUCCAGGGGCUUCUUCUUUACUAUGAGAUCGGGAUCUGCAAUCUGUACCCGAACUCAAUUCUUCUUAUUUCCACUUUUAUCCAUCUGUGCGAGGCCUAUGUUGGGAUAGAGCCGCACUUCGAUCUUUUCCGCUACCUUUUCUGUUUGAGGAAGAAAGGAGCGGUUGGAGGCUCCAAGAUUGCAGGUGGAGUAUACCUCAAUCUUCGUGACGGGAUGAAGAACUGGUAUCUCAGCUACCCAUGGAACACUUCGCUUACCGAGUGGUACAAGAAGUGGUUCUACGUCAGGGAAGAACCGGGCAGCUCCACGUUCUGCGACGUGGGGUACAUUCCCGAGAAGAGGGUCAGUUCGACAGACCGCCCAGCGUUCACCGGUCAGGUAGAAGACCUGAUGAAGCUGAUCGAUUGGUCGUGUUUGGACGGGCUAGGAGUGGUCGGCAACUUCGUUUGUCGUCGGGUGAUGCCCUGCUAGAAGAGGGUGCACUCGGCGUACGAGUACGCUGGGAGCCAGGACCCGACCAGGAUGAGCCCAGAGGUCUUGGAGAAGGUGGAAGUGCAACAGCUGUUGAACGAGCUGUUCAACUUUGCCGACGGCAGCUUCGUCCGUAGUAGUGAUCGGGUGCAGGCCUUCAAGCUGGGGCGAACAGCUCCCAAGGUAAUGUUGCGAACCGAUUUUGCUUUUUCGAGUACUAGUUCUCCUAGUUGUUGAUUUGUCUUUUAUUUUUGCUGUAGAUUGGAGACGUUGACCAGUGCGCGGUGUUCGUAUCACUGGCACCCGGCAUGGAGAACCCCGCGGGGGUAGACCCGUCGGAAGAGGACGCUGCUCGGUGUGCUUGGUACACCAGCAGUGAGGAAGAGCAGAACCAUCCCGCCCCGACCACCGAAGACAGAGUGGCGGGGAAAAGGCCGCUAGCAGCAAACCCCUCCCCUGCGGAAGCGCUGUCGGCGGAGAGCAGUCAGGCGCCAAAGCGCCGUCGACUCAUCCGGAUCACCGACAACGACGACGAGGAGGAGGAGGCCGCGCCUUCCCUGGUCCGGAGGCCGCGCAGUCGUCCGGACGUAGCGCCGACCACCACUGAUCGGGUGACUAGCGACCCUCCUACACCGCGCAUCGUAGAGACGGGGGCGCAGGCACCAUCCGGUAGGACCAGGAGGAGGUUCACCGCAACACACAGGCGAUCUGACCUGUAAGUGUUUAAUCUUACUUUCGUACUGCGACGUUCUGCAUUUUGCUGCUAUUUCUGACAUUAUUUAAAUGUCGUUUCGUUGUCCAGCGUGGCGUCGGAUGUCGACCCCGACCAGGUCGCUGAAUAGAGGACGGCUGAGCCUGUAGCCGCCGUUGGUGACGCCGCGCCGCAAGCCACGGAGCAGCCUGUGGUGACAACUGCUGCUACGAGCGCCGAGGAAUAACCGGCCCCGGCGAGUGCCGCGGCGAGCAUCCCGACGAGGGAUGAAGAGGCAGCGAGGACCCCUCCACCGAGUAAUGUUGUGGGGGAGGAAGACAGAGUCCCGACUCCUCCAGCCGGAGAAAGGGGGGUCCCAACACCGCCCCGAGCAGAGGCCUCUUCGCCCAUAGGCUCCCCUGGCCUGCACCAGGGGCCAGUGAUGCCUACGACCGCGGCCGGUGGCAGUGCGGCGAACGAGGAGCCCUGGGCGGCCUCUAACGACGACGUGGAGGAGAUCCAGGGUCGUCCCAGUGACGGCCGCCAGCACGUCUACGUGUGGCGCCAACGCGGGGACCACUUCAUUGGACAUGAGGAGCUCGCGGAGACGGAAGAGGCCGCGAGGGUGGAGCGCGCGGCCAAGCGUCUCGUGGACGAGGUUAAGGUAAGUAGUCCUUUGUGCUGCUCGACACUUAUAUGCUGUGUUCCUGGGUUCGACAUAUGUUCUUCUUGCAGGGCGCGAUGAAAACGGUGAAGUACCGGAAGAGGUGCUUCGACCAAAUAGAGCGCAUUGUGGCCGAGAACAAGGCCUUGUCCACGCAGGUGGACCGGCUUCGGUCGGAAGUUGGAGAGAAGGUGGCCGAGAUGAGUGCUCAGGAAGAGCGUCGUUUCGAGCUCACUCGGCGUUUAGCCGACCAGUAUCGGCAGCGGACAGGUGAGUCAUGUACUCCGAGCAUCUGUUUGUGGCCGCGUGGCUAGUUGUGUUGACCAGAGGAUUGUUCCUGUAGACUUGGAAGAGGAGGUCGCGCGCCUCCGGCAAGAGAAGGAACAGCUCGACCAAGAGCUUGCCGGGGCGCUGGAGGCCGGGCGCCGAGCAGGCGAGGAGCUAAGCCACAGGAAUCGGGAAUUGUCUGGUAAUAACCGUGCCACCCCCUUUUUAUUUGGUUGCUUCACAUUCCUUUCCUUGUUCUGACCUCCUGUUUGGUUUGUAGUGCUCAAGGUGAAUACCAAGAAGCAUUUAGACGAUCUGGUCAAGGAUCGGGACUCCUGGAAGGCCAACUGCAUUAAGCUUUGGAAAGGAGUGGCCCCGGUUCUGGACUUGAUCAGCCCUGAGCUUCCUGAAGACCAGCCCCGCGCGCCGAGACUAACGCCAGUCGAGAAGGCGCAACGAGCGUGGGACUGGCUCCAACAGUUCGUCAAGGACGCCGGGGAGUUCGCCGGCGCGCACGUCCUCAGCAUGGUGUGCGCCCACUAUCCCCUGGUCGACCUGUCCAGGCUGGAGAGGGGGUACCCUAAGGAAGUUGGCCCACAGGAGGCAGACGACCUUCGAGCUGGCCUGCUUGACUUGUCGUCGACGGUGAUCGGCGACAUCAACCAAUGCGGGACGGCCACUCCCCCCGACCAGCCGGGGUCAGACAGAUCGGCCAGGGAGUUGUCGGGGGCGUCCAUUGCCGGAGAUGGGCGGUCGACGCCUGCGGUCUCGACCAACCAGGCACCGGUGGCCCCGACCCCUUCGUCUGGGCAGCAAGGCCAAGCGGGUGAUCAGCCCGAGCAGUAGGCCUAUAGGAUAGUCUGUAGGAGUAGACUAGUAUCCGCCCGUCGGGGUGUUUAUUGUAAACUUUGUAUGUAAAGUUUGUAAUAAAAUUUGAUUUUGUCAUGACCAUGAUUCUGAGAGCUGUAAUGUUAUCUGGGUGAUGUAUCACUGUGUUUGAUUGAUAGUCGUUAAGAGUCUUUGCCGCAGAGGAAGACUGUUGUACUCGUCGGAACCUCUGCGUGUAAACAAUACAUAGCGAAAAAGAAAAACUUUUAUUAUUGCUAAUUAUAAGAAACUUACAAGCAAAAGAUACUGGAACUUAUGGAUAAAAACGGCGCAGUUUGUCUAUGUGCCAAGAAAUGGGCACGCGUGUUCCAUCUCGAUAUGCCAGUCUGUAGGAUGUAGGGCGUGUGACCUCGGCGACCACAAAGGGUCCUUCCCAAGGCGUGGAUAACUUGUGCGUUCUUUCCUGGCUUGUUUUCCACUUGAGUACUAGGUCACCGACUGCGAAAGAAUGGUCUUUGAUGUUCCUGUUGUGAUACCGCCUGAUGGCUUCGAGAUACUUUGCUGUUCGAAGACAUGAAAUUAGACGCUUUUCCUCCAUGCAGUUGAUUUCGAGCUCCCUGGCGUUGUCAGCCGUUGAUUGGUCGAAGUUUUCAACUCUUGGAGGUCUGAAGGUUAUAUCAGACGGAAGUACUGCCUCGGAGCCAUACACCAUGAAGUAGGGUGAUACACCUGUAUUGCGACUGGCCUGUGUUCGGAGACCCCAGACCACGGCCGGCAAUUCUUUCAUCCAUGGACCAGGCGCUCUGUCGUUCUCGGUGUACAACCUUUUCUUUAGGGCAUCAAUGAUCAUUCUAUUUGUGCGUUCGACUUGACCGUUUUCUCGUUGGUGAGCAACUGACACGUAUUUUAUGACUAUGCUUCUGUCAUCGCAGAAGUCCCAGAACGUAGUGCCAGUGAACUGAGUGCCCAGGUCGGUGAUUAUACUGUUGGGGAUCCCGAAUCUGUGUAUGAUUUGAUUAAGGAACUCCACGGCCUUCUUGGAGGUUGCUUUGACCAGUGGUGUAACACCCUAGGGGUUUGUCACUUGCUAAGUACUAGGUUUGAGCUCAAACAUGACAAGUUCAUUGGUAAUAAAGAGGUCAAAGUCAAUCUAUGAAAGUAAACCCCAACUUGGGCUUGGUGGAUGCAACCUUGCUUGCAUAUAUGCCUUUUUAAAAGGUAUGCUUUGAUGAUGCUAAUGGAACCUUUUCCAUGUGUCUUAUAUCCAUCCCAAUCUAUGUUGGUCUCUGGAAAAGUUUGGUGAAGUUUGGAAUCAAGAAGUCACAUGAAAUGAUAAGUUAUAUCCUUGUUGGAAUGGCUCUAUUAAGGAAAUAGAAUCAUGGGUCACCAACCAGACCUUGCAAACUUGCUCAUAUGACACUAGAUGAAUUAUACAACAAAAGUCAUGAAGGGUUCAUGUUGAGCUUAUGUAAAGAAAAUGCUGGAAUUGGCCUAAAACCCUAUUUGGAGCUUUAUCAGGAUACUGCUUUGACCAAAGUGAAAGUUUGACUUCGGUUGGAGUUAUGAGGAUUGACCCUAAAUAAAAGUUGUAGUUUUCCUUCUGUAGAAGAAACUUUAUUCAAGGGUCAAGAACCAAAUCAGCCUGCAAAUAGUUCAAACAGAGGCUCAAAGUUCGAAUCAGCUGCUGCUUUUUAGCCCUGAGAAAUAAUUCUAAGUCCCGGAAAGUGACAGCAGCAAGUUAGCUUCUUUGUGACAUUUUAGCAUCCAAAUUCAUAUAGUAACUCAGUUGGAUUCCUUAAUAUGAGUUGGAUUACUCUUCUUGAUGAAAGCAAUGGAUCAAGUAUCAUCAAAUUUAGAGUUCAUUUGGAUAUCUAAAAGUAGCUCCCAAAACAGCAAAUGAUUAUUUUAUCGCUAAACGGACGUCGACCCGUUGGCAUGCCGUGUUCUCAUGUUUUUGUUAAGCAACAAAAGUUGGUCCAAGAAUAGAAGUAGUGGACAAUUACUUGGAAAAGGUCAUGUAAAAAGUUGCAUCAUGUUUGACGUGAUUUGGACCAUCAAUUCUUAGUUUUGCUAAUCACCGUCAAUACGUUGACACUCGUGACUUGGCAUCUAAUUAUCUCAUAAUCUGUUUGUCUAAUGACCAUGGUCCCUUAUUAAAAGUUGUAGUGCACGGUAGGGUGAGCAAACUUCGUUUUUGGCCCAUCUCCAAAUUCGGCCCGGAACAAGCCCAAAAUUGCCUCUCACCUUGCCAACUCCGACGCGCGCCACGUGCUCGACAAAAUACUUCAAAGGACGACGCGUGUCCUGCGCGUGGUCACCAUGCACGGCCCUGUGCCCCACCUCCCCUGUCCUUGCUGCUUCGAUGGCAUAGAGCCGCCCAGGCGCCCUCCACUCCGUUGGCUCACUCUCUGUGCUUCCCCAGUCCUCCCUACUCGCCCCCUCUCGCCCAUCGUUCGCUCUGGAGCUUGCCAUGGCCAGCAGCAGCCAUGGCCGGUGGACAGAGCUCCCUGCCAUCGCUGCUCUCCCUAUUGCGCUUGGUUAAGCCUCAGGCUGGAAAUGUCCCGGCGUCCACCCCGCCUUCCUCCUCCUCCUGCGCAUGCUCGCGUGGCCCAUGGAAGCCGAAGCCGCGCCGGUGUCGGGCCACCAUCGCUGCAGCCGUCGGCAUCCAUGGCUAAGCCACCCUGGACCACCACGGCGUGUGCCGCGGCCACCACGGGGUGCGCACGGCCCCCCUGGUCCUCCCCCGCCACUUCUUCGUCGCCGACGUGCCGCUAAACCGCCGGAAAACGCGAGUCCGAGCACCUCCUCUGUUCUGAUUCGCGUUAGGGAUCUCGCGCGACAAUUCGACGAAAUGGGAGGGGUUAUGUGCGAACCUGUGAGUCAUGUGAAUAGUGUUGCAAGGAUCUAUUCGUUGGAAUCUAGUUUGUGAAAAGUUCAGGGUUCCUGAUGCAAGAUCCAUUUUGCUUUGUUUCAUUCAGAUUUCUAGAUGAUCUUUGAUAAUGCAUAGAAAUUUAUAGAAAAGUCGUAAAAUAGCAAAUGUGAACUUUUUGGAAUUCUUAUGAAAUUCACUAUGCAGUAGAUCUAUAAUAUGGCAUGGUUUAGUUUGAAGUUUUCGUCGUAAAAAUAGAUUUAUGCAGUUAGGUUUUAAUUGCUUGUUAUAUUUGUCUUUUUCAUAACUGCUGUGUUGUUGCCUAAAUAAAUGUGAAAAUAUUGUGACAUGCUUUUCAUAUGAUAUUUGAUGACUGGUACAAUUUUCAUGAAUUUAGGAACAAUAGAUUAAGAGUCAUAAAAAUAACAAAUACCCCGUGUUCCUUUGCUCCUAUUCUGAGUGGAUCUGCAUAUUUGUAUUGUUUGGCUCAGUUAAGUUGUGAAUCAUGCCUUAAUGAAAAUAUAUAAGUUUUAUUACUUUUCAUGAUAUUUCCAAAAAGAUAAAUAGCACAAUUUUCGGUUAAGCACAUGUUUAGUUAUAGUGGUUUAAAGUAUUGUUCCAGUUUCUGUCUAAACCCAGACAGCACUGCAUUGUUUGUAAUGUACGACCUUAUUAAUGGUAGGUUUAGCUGUAGAUGUUUAUAACAAAGAUGUUCACAAUUUCGUAAGAUUUCUAGAAAGUACACAAUCAUAAAUUAUGGACAUGUGAACCUCAAGUUAUAGCUGUUUAAUGUAGCAUGACAGAUUCUGUCUAUGUUUUGGACAGAGAUGCCUUCAUGGGAUUAAUUGACCUUGUUAACUGUGGAAUCAUAUUUAGAUGAUAAUAAGAAAGUUGUAGGUAACUUUAUAAGCUUUCCACAAAUAUAAGAAUUAUGUUUGCUGGAGGUCAACAACUCCAGUUAUGCUGCUUUGAAUUGCCUAUCAGUUUUCUGUGUGUAAUUGUACCCCUACUGUUUGGGCAGCAUGGGCAGUUUUGAUUGUGCAACUAAUUUCAUGAUAUAAAUGAUGUUUCUUGUGCAACUUGUCUAUAUACAAUAUGUAGAUAAUUUAUUAACAUAUCUUGUGGUAAAGUUUCAUAUCAUUUGGCUAAGUGGUUUAUGAGUUACAGUAGUAUGAAGUUCAUCCCCUGAAAUGCUUGUUCUCUGGAAAUUCCUGGACCAGAUUAUAUGGUCAUGCAUGUUUGACUUGGUUAACUUGUUAAUCAUGCUAAUAUGAUUAAAGAUGAAUUGUAUAUGAUUUUAUAAUCUUUCCAGAAUGUCCUAUUGCAUAGUUUUUGGAGCUGUGUAGCUCUAGUUAUGAAUUGUUUACUGAGUUGCUGCAUGUAUGUCCAAAAUUGCUGAAAAUGCAUGAAUGCUUGAUUGCUUUACUUGUUGUGUGCAAACUGUGAUUCAUGUCUUUAAUGGUGAUUAAGUAAUACACUUGUAACCUUGUAAAACUUGUGUCAUUAUUGAUAUGUUUGCUCUAUAUAAUUGGUCGUGUGAUGUUAGCUAAAUAACUUUAGAUGCCUAUGUCUUGCAUACUUUUCUGUGAUGCAUGUUGUGUUAUUAUUCUUUAUAUUCAUGCACUUGCAUCUUGCAUCUCAUCUAGGUGCGCUAGAUGAAUCACGUCAAGGUCUUGGUGUGGGAACAAACCCGAAGACAGUGUUGGGUGGACCCAUCCUGAAGGUGGAAGGACAAAGCAAGUGUUGUGACCUAAGAUGUCACCAAGAUGGAGCAACUAAUUGAACUGACUCCUUGUUGAUCCCAGGCAAGCCCCGGAGCAUUAUAAGUCUCCUACUACUUUUGAAUGCAAUUGAGAAUAUAUGUUAUAUAUGUAUUGUUGCAUUAAGUAUAGGAGUUGGGUGAAACCCUUGCUGCAUAUAUCACUCCUUGUCCAGUAAAUAUACCUAUACCCCUACGUAGAUUCAGAAUCGAAUCUAAAUGCUUAGUUAUGCUUAGACCGGUAAAGCCAGGUGACGUUGUGUCACCUGAGCCAAAUAGGUGAAUACCUGGAUAAGUUGGCUAUAUAUGCUAUCAUGGAAAUAACCAAGUGAUGAGGAUGAAUAAUUGGAGACCGGGCGGGACGAUGGUAGAGAAGUAACAAGACAUGGAGGUCUUGGGUGCCUAUCUAUCCCCGCAUGUGUCGAUUAAGGACCGAUCGUUGACAGCUCUCUUGUCAUGUUGAACGCAUGUCCCACACUUAGCUGGAAGGAUAAGUCGUUCCAACCGCGAAGCCUGAGCACUUUCCGGGCCGGGAAUCGGCCCGAUGUACGCGCUGUAUUGGUGAUGGUUGAGGAGAACGACGAGGGCGCGGCGCGCAACCUUGGUAUACCUUGGAUACCUCGGUCUCCGGAACGGUCCUCGGGUACGGGCGGUGCCUGUCGAACCCGCGAAUUGGUCCUGGAUAGUGCAAUACGGUGAUCUGUAGCUCACUUGAUCAGUGAGUGUGGUUUGUGUGGGGAAUAACUCGCCAGUUGGUUAGAAAUCGAUUCGAAUCGCCAUCGCUCCUGGACAGUGAGCACUUGACUUGAGCUUCGUCAUCGUAGUAAUGUUUAUGGAACACUUGGAAGGUUAUGGUAUGAUGAUGUUGGAAAUGCCACAUCAAAUAUGGGUACUAUGGUUGUAUCUUAAUCAAGUGAUUGCUUUAGUACAGGUGCUAAUCUAGAUGACAGGUUAAUAAUUAUUAACUUGAGCUAAAUACCUGAAAGGUUACUUAGUUGCAACUUAAGCUUUUUAUGCAAAAAGUGUUGUCAAGCUAGCUCCACCAAUAAAGCCUUGCAUACUCCUUGGUGUCAUAUUAUUUCUGGUUUAUGACGGGUAAGUCUAGCUGAGUACCUUCUCGUACUCAGGGUUUAUUCCCACUUGUUGCAGGUUGUGAUGUAUCAUGGCUACUGCAAGAGUUGGAUGAGUCCUACCAUAAUAGAGGAGUAAGAUCAUGGGCAUGAUCCUUCUUAGUUACCUCAUCUAUGUUGCUUUUGUUGGAGUUGACCUGAAUACUGGCAUGUAUUUGAAAUGAGGGCAAUAUUGGUUUCAAAUUACUUUACUUCCACUACUUUUCAACUCAAGUUGUAAUAAAUAUAUUAAACUCUGAUGUAUGUCAAACUACUUGUGAAAUGGAUGUAACAUGUGACUUGUUAUGUUGAAUCACUAUGAUCUUGGCUUGUAUGAUGGUUGGAUUGAAAUCCCUCGUGAUUUUACAAACUACCGGGUUUAUGAGAGUUCGACUAUGUUAAAGCAACUGCUUUGGCGGGAGUUUUUCAUAGUUGAUCUCUUGUAAAUUGGGCGGUUCUGUUACAAGUGGCAUGUAUUCGAUCCACUUCGAGAAUUUAUCGAUUAACACGAAGACGAACUUGAAGUUGCCGGGAGCUGGUUUAAAUGGCCCGAUCAUGUCGAGGCCCCAGCAGGCGAAAGGCCAGGAUGACGGAAUAGUUUGAAUCUCAUGAGCAGGUACGUGGGUCCUUUUGGCAAAGAACUGGCAUCCUUCGCAAUGUCGGACCAGUUUUUCUGCGUCGGUGACCGCGGUUGGCCAGUAAAAACCUGCUCGGAAAGUCUUCCCGACCAGUGUUCUGGAGGCUGCGUGGUUGCCGCAGGAUCCGGCGUGUAUGUCAUCUAGGAGCUUGAUGCCAUCAUCUUGGGAUAUGCAUUUGAGCAGCACUUCGGAACUUGCAUUUUUUUCGCAUAAGUUUGCCGUCCACCAGUAUGUAAUUCUUUGAUCGUCGAAUGAGGCGCUCGUUCUCCGUUUUAUCCUGAAAGCCUGACCCGUCCGAUAUAUACCUGAUGAACGGGGUGCGCCAAUCACGGAUGCUGGAUGUCGGAGUAGCGUCGUCUAUGAGCAUUGCCUCAAUAGGUUGCUUUUUGACCAGGUCUGUGCCCACACUUGGCUCAUGGAUGUCCUGGAUGAAAACACCUCGCGGGAUCUGGGCCCGAGAUGACCCUAACUUUGACAUCGCAUCCGCUGCCUGGUUCUUGUCCCGGACCACGUGGAUGUACUCUAUGCCAUAGAAGUUGGAUUCCCAUUUGCCGAUUUCUUUGCAGUAGAGAUCCAUCUUCUCGUGGGUUGCGUCCCAUUCCUUGUUGAGCUGGUUGAUAAAUAAAGCGGAGUCGCCGUGGACGUAGAGGCGUUUGACUCCCAACUCAACGGCUAGUCGUAUGCCAUGUAAGCAUGCUUCGUACUCAGCGACGUUGUUUGACGCCGGAAAAAGGAUCCUAAGGACGUAACGCAAUUUGUCCUUGUUAGGCGACACGAAAAGUAUCCCAGCGCCGGUGCCGUUGAUGUUCAAGGACCCGUCAAAGAACAUUGACCAGUGGUCGGAGACGUCGGAAACGGGAGGCUCGUUAAGAUCCGUCCACUCUACGAUGAAAUCGACCAGGGCCUGAGACUUGACUCUGGUGCGGCUCUGGAAAUCUAGGGAGAAUGGGCAUAACUCCAUUGCCCAUUUUACAAUUCUACCGUUGGCGUCUUUAUUGCGCAGAAUAUCACCAAGAGGGAAACUGGUGGUUACCGAGACCCGAUGGCCGUCGAAGUAGUGCUUUAGCUUCCUCGAUGUUAUUAGAAUGGCUUAUAUGAGCUUCUGUAUUUGUGGGUAUCUGGCCUUGGACUCAUUUAAGACUUCGCUUAUGAAAUAUACGGGUCUCUAGACCUUGUAGACGUGGCCUGGCUCGUCUCGCUCGACCACUAUUGCCGUGGAGACGACCCUGUCGGUUGCUGCAAUGUAAAGGAGUAGGUCUUCAUUGGGCUAAGGCACUGUGAGAACAGGCGGUGAGGUGAGGAAAGUCUUGAGCUGGGUGAACGCAGCGUCAGCUUCCUCUGUCCAGGAGAAUUUUUCUGACGCCUUCAAGAGUUUGAAGAAGGGAAGGCCUUUUUCUCCUAGUCUUGAGAAGAAGCGGUUGAGGGCGGCCAUACAUCCGGUGAGCUUCUGAAUAUCCUUGACGUUCUUAGGUGGUCGCAUGUCGAGCACUGCUUUUACUUUUGAAGGAUUUGGUCGUAUGCCGUCGCGGCUGACGACGUUGCCGAGCAGUAGACCAGAGGGGACCCCAAAGAUACACUUUUUCGGGUUAAGCUUCCACUUGUACUUGUUUAGUGCCUUAAAGGUUCGGUCUAAGUUAUCGAUUAGGGUGAUUGCGUCCCUUGUUUUGACGACGACGUCGUCUACAUAAGCCUCGAUGAGGUCAUCACGAAUCUCAUCGUGGAGGCAUUGCUGGAUGGCCCGUUGAUAGGUGGCUCCAGCGUUUUUGAGUCCAAAGGACAUGGUCGUGUAGCAGUAUGCGUCGAAGGGAGUAAUGAAAGAUGUUUUGAUCUGAUCAUCUUCCUUUAGCGAGAUCUGGUGAUAGCCAGAGUAGCAGUCUAGAAAAGAGAGGAGUUUGCAUCCGGCUGUUGAGUCGACCACCUCGUCGAUGCGAGGGAGACCAAAAGGAUCUUUAGGACAGUGUUUAUUGAGAUCAGUGUAAUCAACGCACAUUCUCCAUUCAUUAUUCUUUUUGCGUAUAAGAACCGGAUUGGUGAGCCAAUCGGGAUGAUACACUUCUUUUAUGAAUCCGGCUGCUAGAAGCCAUGUUAUUUUUGUCCUAAUAGCCUCCUUUUUAUCACGAGCGAACCGUCGCAGCUUUUGCUUGAUGGGUCUUGCGGUCUUCGAGACAUUUAAGGAGUGCUCGAUCAGGUUUCGUGGGACGCCGGGCAUGUCUGCGGGUUUCCAUGCGAAAACGCUCACGUUGUCCCUUAGAAACCUGACGAGCGCGUCUUCCUAUUUAGGGUCCAGGUUGGCCCCGAUGAGGGCCAUUUUCUCGGGGCUGCCUUCGACCAGCUGUACUUCCUUGUACUCCUUGGAUUUUGAAAUCUUCCUGGCGGUCUCCUGCUCGGGUAGUCGGAGCUGGUCGGGAGGGAGCUGUGCGGCUUGGCUUGCUGUUUCUGCCAUGCGAAUUGAAAGAUCAAUUGCUUCAGUGAUCUUGAAGCUCUCCUCCUUGUAGGUAUAUGCAGUGUAGACAUUGCCUCUGACAGUUAGGAUGCCCUUCUCUGUAGGCAUUUUGAGGACCAGAUAUGAGUAAUGUGGAACUGCCAUGAACUUUGUCAGCGAUGGUCGGCCCAGUAUGGCGUGGUAGGUUUCAUCGAAGUCGGCGACCACAAAGUUGACGAACUCUGUUCGAAAGUGGUCGGAUGUGCUGAAUUGGACAGGCAGUGUUAUCUGUCCGAGGGGCACUGAACUUUGACCUGGCAAGACUCCCCAGAAUUGAGUGUCGUAGGGCUUUAGCUGUGCCGGGGUUAUCUUGAGAGCAGGCAAGCUGUUGCGAAAAAGGAUGUCAAUGGAGCUUCCCCCAUCGACGAGCACGCACUCGAAUCUGAUGCUGUUGAUGCAAGGAUCCAGUAUUAGAGGGAAACGUCCUAGUUCCGGGAUGGUGGCCCACUGGUCCUUCCUGCUGAAGGAGAUUUCCCUGUGCGACCAGGGAGGGAAUUUCGGGUCAGCGAUUAGGCCAUCCGUGGUGUCUAUAUUGAGGCAGGCUCUUUUUAAGAGCUUUCUUUCUCGCUUAGACUCGGUGGAGACCUUGCCCCCAAAGAUGGAGUGGACCACGUCGGUGGGACUGACAUACUAGUGUCGUGGGUCCCUAUCCUGGUUAGGACGCGCAUUCCUCCAUCGUGUGGCUGGACUUUGGAUGCAGCUGGCAUGGUCCCUUCAACGUCUUGUUGUAGUCGUCCUGGUAGUCUCGCCGCCCAUUGGGACGCUUGACCGUAUUCACCUCGUGGUCGUGGUCAUGAGGGCGCUUGCCUCUGAAGUCAUCGCGGUUGUCACACCGCCUGUCCCAGCCUUCUCUGUGGUCCCGAUUGUCGGGGCGACGAUGGUUCCUAUUGUCGAAACGACCUCAACUGUCAUCUCGUCGAGGGGGCUGGUCGGGACCUCUCGCAUCGUCCCGGAUGAGUUUUUCUGCGUCGUCGGCGUCAGCGUAGUUUUUAGCCGUGGCAAGAAGCUCGGCCAUCGUUGUUGGUCUUUUGCGCAGCAGCUUGUUCUUCAGUGCUUCAUGGAAGUGCAGCCCCUUGAUGAAAGCAGAUAUGGCCUCGUCGUGGGAAAUUUUCGGGAUCUUAAGGCGCAUAUCCGAGAAUCGUCGGAUGUAAUCGCACAGAGGCUCGUUUUUCCUGUCCCUUAUCCUUUCGACGUCGUACUUGUUCCCAGGCUGCUCGCAGGUGGUGAUGAAGUUGUCGAUGAAAGCUUGGCAUAGUUCUUCCCAAGAAUCGAAAGAGUCCUCGGGCAGGCCUAGGAGCCACUGGUGACCAGCCUGGUCGAGGACUACUGGGAAGUUGUUGGCCAUGACGUGCUCAUCUCCUGCUGCUGAUCGGACGGCGAUCUCGUAAAGAGUGAUCCAGUUUUCUAGGUUUUCCUUGCCGUCGUAUUUUUUGAGUUUCUCGAGCUUGAAAUUGUGGGCCACACGACCUGGCGGAGGUGUGAAGAGAACUGUCUCAGGCCCGGGGGACCAUGCGUUGCAUCGUACUCAAUGCGACGCAGGUUUUCGUGAACUGCUCUCUCCGUGGCGCGCCUGUUGAUGCGGUCCCGGGCGUCUUUGGGAGGGAUAUUGUAUCGGAGAUCCCUGUGCUAGUUUACUUCCUGACCACGUCCGCGAUUAUGCUCGCGAUGGCCGCCAGCAUCCCGACCACCAUCAUCGCGCCGUGAAUCUUUUCGAUGAUUAUUGGGGGAACGGCUGCGGUGGUGCCUGCUGGGUUGUGGUGAGGUCUGGCUGUGAUGGCUCUGGUCGGAGGAGACCUCUGUAUAGGAGAUAGCUUGGACUCUUUUGAGCAGAGUGGCUGUCUGUCCCAUCGUGGCGAUCAGGUGUGCUCGAACGCUGGAUCGGACGCCCUGGCAUUCGGGAGUAUCAGGGAGUCGAUCUAAGUUGGCCAUGGCAACAGCCACGUUGGCGCUUGGUGUUUUGUAGACUGGCUGAUCCCCGACCAUGUCGAAAGCGUCGGUGAGGUUAUGUGGUGGGAGUUGGCGUUCCUCGUCUGCGCGUCAUCGGGUGCGGUCAGCAUUGCGCUGCUCGCGGAGCUGCCUUUGCUCGUCUGUUUCUCCGUCAACGACCGGCUCGUCGGCGCUGACAUUGAAAACGAGGUCUCCACGCCGAGGUGGAAAGACCGGGAAGCAAGAGAAACCCGGAGGAUACGGUGGUAAAUCCAGGUCGUAGUCUUCGUCCUCAGAGUUUAUGACUUCAGUAGGAACGGAGCCAGUGCUAGAGUUUGUGCUGGAAGCCUGGCCGUCCCGUAGUUCUCGGAUCGUCACCAUGUUGAUGUAGUGACGAGUUGGCCGAUUCUUCCGCUUUGGCAACCAACCAGCCCCGUUGAAGAGGGAUUUGAUGUGUCGCGAGUAAUCAACGGUCGAAUUGUCCAGCCCGUAAGGAGAGCCUUGAUCUGGACCAGCCUCGAGUUUGACGGACCAUCCUGAGGGGGUGGAGGUUAUCGUCAGAGACGUUCCCAGCUGUUCGUGUGUGACGACACAAGUUGGCUGGUAGGAGUUGUAAAAACCCGUUGGCGCGGCUUGGUCAGGCUGGUGUGAGAUCCCAUCUAUUAGUUGGGAGGCUUCGAGAAGCUUGAGGUCGGCGCGAUCAAGAGCUCGGAAAAGGUCCGAGCCAUCGAUCUUCUUUCCCCUGUAGCGCGGAAACGGCGGUCGGGUGCUCGGUGCCGGUGUCCGCGUGGUCAGAGCCGAUGCCUCCAUCGUCCCAGAUUGGAUCUGGGUUUCUUCCGAAACCGUGGCCGUGAGGCCACCGCCGCGAGUUGUCCACGUAAUCUGGCCGACGGUGAACGUGAGGCCUUCAGGCACGGCCACAGAAUCUGGAACGAUGACCAUCUUGUUCGCUGGAAAAGCUGUAUGCACACCCCCUACCUGGCGCGCCACUGUCGACGAAAGCUAGUCGGCAGUCUACCCUGGGGUAUACCCACGGUAGUAAUUUAUCGGUAGACGGUGCGCAAGCUACGAACUUGACGGUGACGCAAGACACAGACAAGGUUUUUAUCCAGGUUCGGCCGCCGUGUGGGCGUAAUACCUACGUCCUUCGUCUGAUUGUAUUGGAUUGUGUUGAGAGAAUCUCCUAGGGGGGUCCCUUGCCUCUCCUUAUAUAGUCCGGAGGGUAGGGUUACAGAUCUGGAAACUAAUCCUAGUCGGUUACAAUUGUCAUAGAUAGUUCGAUAUCAAUUCCUAUUCUAACCGACUAGAAUCCUGCUUGAUCUCCACGUCUUGUUUCCUUGCGCGAAACUCCGAGCUUGUCGGAUCAAGCCUCGAACUUGUCUCGUAAUGGGCCAAGCCUCCUGGCCCAAGUCUAGCCGUAAGGGUAUAGGGGUUUAUACCCCCACAAAUAUAGGUUUAAGCAUGGUGCUUAGACCUAGAUUACUUGUGGAUAUCCCCUGUCUAGCUGGAUCGUGUGGUAGGCCGCGUAGGUGACAGUUACGUUGGUCCCCUGUAGUCCACCUCUUGUUAGCAGGACGGGUAGGGUUUAUAGGCCUAUGGAUAAGCAUCCUUUGUGGUGUAUUCUUAUCACGUGGUUCGUCCCAGACAUAGACAUACCCCUUUGAAGUAGAGAAACCAUAGUUAUCCUCUCUAUUCUGCUACCAUCGCCCAUAUAUUAGAUUGCUCUACUCUCUAUUCCCAUAUUAUCACCCAUUGUUAUUUUACCUUUAAUAUUGUUCUUAUUCAAUUCUACCAUCUUUCCUAUUUACACCUACCUAUCUAUCUAGGUUAAGUUAGAGCGUAGAUCAGUUCUCCCGUUUCCCUGUGGAUAAGAUAAAACCUUUAACCGGGUAAAAGCUACAACGGUAUCCGUGCGCUUGCGGAUUUAUCUGUGUGCGUAUAAAUACCAUAGUACACUCUAGUGCCAUGUUGGGGAUGACAACCUAGUAUUCAAGUGGUGUUAGCAAGUGUGAACAAAGACCUACCAAGCAGAAACUGCGACGGUUCGCUCGUGACAAAAAGGAGGCUAUUAGGACAGAAAUAACACGGCUUCUAGCAGCCGGAUUUAUUAAAGAAGUGUAUCAUCCCGAUUGGCUCGCCAAUCCAGUUCUUGUAAGAAAAAAGAAUAAUGAAUGGAGAAUGUGUGUUGAUUACACUGAUCUCAAUAAACAUUGUCCUAAAGAUCCUUUCGGUCUCCCUCGUAUCGACGAGGUGGUCGACUCAACGGCCGGAUGCGAACUCCUCUCUUUUCUAGACUGUUACUCUGGUUAUCACCAGAUCUCACUAAAGGAAGACGACGAGAUCAAAACAUCCUCUAUUACUCCUUUCGGUGCAUAUUGCUACACCACCAUGUCCUUUGGACUCAAAAAUAUCGGAGCCACCUAUCAACGAGCUAUUCAGUAAUGCCUCCACGACGAGAUACGAGAUGACCUCGUCGAGGCUUAUGUCGAUGACGUUGUCAUCAAAACUAGGGUCACAAGCACCCUGAUCGACAACUUAGACCGGACUUUUAAGGCGCUGAAUAAAUACAAGUGGAAGCUUAACCCCAAAAAGUGUAUCUUUAGGGUCCCCUCUGGUUUACUACUCGGCAACGUCGUCAGCCGCGACGGCAUAUGGCCAAAUCCUUCAAAAGUUAAAGCUAUGCUCGAUAUGCGACCACCCAGAAACGUCAAAGACAUUCAAAAGCUCAUCGGAUGCAUGGCCGCUCUCAGCCGGUUCAUCUCCAGAUUGGGGGAAAAAGGCCUUCCCUUUUUCAAACUGCCCAAGGCGUCGGAAAAUUUCUCCUGGACUGAAGAGGCCAACACGGCAUUCACCAAGCUCAAGGCCUUCCUCACCUCACUGUUGAUGGUCCUUAAGUAUCAAAUUUAAUUAUCAAAUAAAUAAAGAAAAUGAUCCAAAUGAAAUCAACAUCUAGACUUAGGGUUUUAUCUGAUAGAAUUCCACGAGUUUUGGUGUUUGUCUAUUUCUGCAGGAGGUUAUUAGGAAAUACGGAAGAAAGGCCCACACGUCGGGAUUACAUAGAGAUAUUAACGUGUCGCGCAAUUAUCUUACAUCUAGAAGACUCCAGAAGACACGGGAAGAAAGCGGUGGCCGAACGGGGCCAGAGGCAGGGCGCCCGCCAUCCUUCCCUGGGCGCCCGCCCCCUCUGAGAGUCCAAUCAGGACUCUGUUUCUCGGGAGAUCUCCACCGACCUAAAGGAUCAAGGAUAACCGUUCAAUCUAAGUCGGUUUGAUCCAACGGUCCAUAUUCACUUGAAGGGACUAUAAAACCAGAACCCCUGGCCCCUGGAGGAGAGAGUCUCUCAACACUAAUUCAUUAUUCUCAAGGGAGAAGAAGCCUCUGAUCAAGAUUAGAGCCACCACAUCAAUUAGACAUCUAGAUUAGCAUAGCUACAUAGGAUUAGAACUAGAAGGAGUCAAUCUUCGAUUGGUUUCCGGAUCUGUCAAGAGGAUUCUUGGUAAUUCUCUAAUUGUGCUUCUAAUUGCUUUCUAAUUAUCUUUGUUCUUCAAUAUUAUGAAUAUGACUUUGUUCUACUUCAAUAUAUUGCUUAUGACUUUGCUCUACUUGUUUAUAUUCAAGAUUAUAUUGUUCUUAGUUUAUCAUAGUUAUGUACUUGGCUUAGUUAGAUUGGAUCUAUAUACAUGCUUAGGAUCGUAUAGCGUUUAUCCAUCGGAUCCAUGGGUAAAUGAUAGAUAUUGUGUAGGCGUGGUGCUUAUACCGUAUUUAUCUGCGAUUGUACCCAAUAUGCCAGAUUGUGGGGUAGUUCGUGAUAGUGACAGCUUCAUUGAUUCUUAUAUAGUCCCCCUCUCGUGUAUUGGGCUGGCAGAGCAAUAUUAUUACAGGGGAGUGAUUGCUAUGUUUCUCAUUUACCUUGCUAAUAUCACUAUGCAUGGGCGUAGUCUUGUCUUGCAAAGAUUGCUAAGUAUGCUUGCACUAAUUAUGAUAAUGCUAGACUAUAUAGUUGAGAAUAACUUAGGAAAUAUUCUUGUAGUUCAUUCUAAUUCCAUGCUAAUGACUUUCUAGAGUAUCUAAUUGAGGUGCUUAUCAUAUUUAUUAUGUGGCUAAGUUAUGAUCAGCUUAAUUAUCUUUGUCACUAUUCAUUAUUUCAUAUAUCUUAUAUGUGACACUUAUCCCUGUAUGAAAGAGUUAGAUAGAUGUUCUCAAUUAUAUAUGCAAUGAUAGAUACUCAAUCUCAUAUUCUAUUCUGUAAUCAAUAUUGAUGAUUGCUAAUCCCUUCCCAGUGGUAAAAAUAUAAAUAACGAUACCUGGAAUACUUCCCGGUUAAAAUGCUACAUUGGUAUUAAUCUGUGCGCUUGCAGAUCCCAUUCAUUAUUUAUUUAGAAGAGCAAUUUCAUAUUUCAAUACCGCGUCUCUCAUAUCAUGCUGGGGAUGACAACUUGGCUUAAGUGGUGUGAGGGAUAGGUUUGGCUUUUUUGGCACCGUUACUAGAAUUAGAAAACUAAUUCUACUUUUGGUAAUGAUGUUAAGAAUACCCAACAAGCAUUUUUGGCGCCGUUGCCGGGGAAGGUUGAUUACUAAUUAGGAAUGGAAUAAAGGAUUUUGAGUUAUCAUUCGCAUCACUAAUAUGAUUGAGCUUAUCUAUUCUCUCAUACAGUUUUACCCUGAUAUUUUUCUAUUUUAUCUUAUGCAGGGGAAUGUAUGAAUAGAAGACAUCUUCUAGGAAAUUUUGUUGACAAUCCCGAAGCAUUAUUCAAGAAGACAAGAGCCAAGCUAAAGAAGAGAUCAUCAACACUUCAGCAAGAAGCUUCAUCCAAUCAAGAAGAUCACCGAAACUUGUCUUCAGAGUUUGAAGCCAUAGCGAACAAAUCAAUCCGCGAGUUCUCAGCUCCCACUACGGACAACAUCUGCACUGGACCUACUGCAGAGAUCGAUGGCAACUUUGAGCUCAAGCCUAGACAUAUCAACAUGGUGAAAUCCAACCAGUUCUGUGGGAAGGCACACAAAGAUGCUAGUGCUCAUCUACAACACUUCCUGUAGAUUUGCAACACAUUUACCAUAUCUGGAGUUUCCAGAGAUGCUAUACUACUUCGCCUCUUCCCAUUCUCACUGUUAGGGAGAGUGAAGCAGUGGUUCUACGCUACAAAGGAGAAGAAUACUACGUGGGCACUCUGCUCAACAAACUUCCUGGCUAAGUUCUUUCCCAUGGGCAAGACCAAUGCUCUCCGUGGGAAGAUUACAAGUUUUCAUCAACAAAAUGAUGAAUCUGUUCCAGAAGCAUGGGAGCGCUUUCAAGACUACAUCCUAGAAUGUCCCCAUCAUGGAAUGGAGAGUUGGCUAUUGAUGUAGAUGUUUUAUCAUGGGCUCGGCAACAGUGCCCGAGAAACCAUGGAUGCUGCAGCUGGAGGAGCAUUCCUAUCACUUACCAUAUCACAAGCCACAGCUCUUGUGGAGAAGAUGGCGUCCAACCAAAGCUGGAAUGAAGAGAGGACCCAAACACGCAAGAGAGGUGGAGGUAUGCAUCAGCUGAAGGAGGUAAACAUGCUGUCUGCAAAGCUAGACCUACUCAUGAAGAAGCUCGAUGAUAGAGCUAGAGAUAAGAAAGAAGUUAUGCACAUCUACGACUCUCACAUGACUUGUGAGGAGUGUGGAGAUACUGGACACUCAGGCAAUCGCUGCCCUGAGAUACUUGAGGAUGUGAACUACAUCAACAACAACAACAACUACUACUACUACUACUACAACCGUCCUCAACAAAAUCAAGGUUGGAAUCAACAGAGGCCUAACUACUCAGGUAAUUAUCAAGGUAACAAUUCUUACAACAAUAAUAAUAAUUUUCCACCUCUGAGAGAGUUAGUGUCUAAUCAAGGAAAGCUAAUGGAUAACCUAUCUAAGAGAUUGGCAUCAAAUGAUAAAAUGCUAGAAAAUAUAAAUAAUAGAAUGGAUAAUUUCUCUACUGCCAUCAAGAAUCAAAUUAGCUUUAAUAAAAUGAUUGAAUCUCAGUUAAAUCAAAUAGCUGCUGUUGUUCCUACUACUAACCCCGGUAUACCAUCACAACCGGAAGGAUUAGAAUCUACAAAUCUUGUAGACAUGAUUGAUGCAGGUAAUUGGAGAAACCCCGUCACUGAAUUUACUACUGACCUUCUGCCGGUCAAGAGAGGCGAUCCAGGACGCCCCGUCAUCCCGAUCUCCAUCGGCAUGGUGGACGUCCCAGAAGCACUCUGCGACUUUGGCUCCAGCGUCAACAUUAUACCAAGGGUACUCUAUGAAAAACUCUUUACAUAUCCUUUAUUAAAAACAACCAUGUGUUUGCAGUUUGCAGAUCAGACGAUAAGUUUUCCAAAAGGAAUAUUGAAGAACCUUUGUGUCAGAGUUGGUACCUUGUACGCCCCAGCAGACUUCGUAGUGAUAGAGACCGGUAAUGAUGAGAGAGCACCCAUCAUCUUAGGGAGGCCAUUCUUAAACACCUCGGGAGCUGUCAUCUAUGCUAGUGCUGCCAAGAUCAGUUUCUACAUCAAAGGGAGGAAGGAGACAUUUUUCUUCAAGAACAAGACUACACAAAUCCCAGAUCAAUCCAGACGUGAAUCAAGGAAGAGGACCAACACGAGGAACAGGAACAAGCGAGUGUGGACCGAGUCAGGUAAGAUGGUCACUGCAGUUCAUGGAGGUCAAGAUCAUCAACUUAAGUCACCAUUUUUGACCAAGAAGGACAACCCAGGAAUGCCAAGCAUCUAUUGCUCCAUAAAUGGAUGCAACUUCUACAAGACGACUUGCGACACCGGAUCGGGCGUCAACAUAAUGGUCGUAGUCACCUAUCGGCUCUUGCUCGGAACCAUGCCCCUAAGACCAACAUACAUUCAGCUCCAGAUGGCAGAUCAGACAUUUCAAGAAGUUAAAGGAACAGUAAUUGAUGUCCUAGUCAAAAUAGAUGAUCAUUUUGUCUACACAGACUUUCAAGUUAUUGACAUGGGAGAAGAUGAAUACGAUCCACCCAUCAUCCUUGGAAGACCGUUCCUCAGCACCGUCAAAGCAAUCAUCUACAUUGGAACCGGAGAAGUCCAUAUGCACUUCCCCUCAGAGAAGGUACGCCAUUCUUUUAUUGACCCUAACUAUAUCGUUGAAGAAUCUAAGCAGGUAAGAAAAUGACGCAACCGCAACUAGUGGAGGGAAAUCAUCAAGGACGGGUGGGCAAACUAUGAAGGAGAAGUUGUAAGGUCAGAAGACGUAGAGUUUAAAUAGAAUUAUCCAGAGGAGACCGAAGCACCGAGUCAGGUAUGGAAAGAGAAGAUAACUAUACACGAAGAGGAGGCGCUGCUGAAAGUACCGACUCCGCCAUCCAACGAAUCCAAGGACAAUUGAGAAAACGGAGAGUCCCGUUCGGAGGACUUAAAAACACCGAACGCCUUGCCAAGAGUUCCACAAGCUUUAUUGUCUAUUUGAGCUCCGCAGAAUUUAAGAAUCAAGAAGACUAGCAGAUGAAGGACAUUCUAAUCGCUGUCAGAAUCCUGCUGACUUUCAAAUACACCUCUACCACCUGCUACCUACAUCAAGAGAAAUUACGUCAAAAUUCAG